AGAAAUGAUGAACAAAAACAGAUAUGAUUAGGUGAUAAAACAUUAAAUAUUUGAAGAAUAAAAGAAAGAAAAAGGAACUUACAGGCUUAGAAAGUAAGCUUCUUAUUGUGUUUAUGCUUUUAUAGAAAUGUCUUAAUUAUGAAUCAAUUCUUCCAUUAUGUUUUUCUUAUUCUUUAUUUAUUUUUACAAUUAUUAUUAAAAACUACGGUUCUAAGUUGUUAUUAUGUCCUUCAUUUCUAUUAUUUUACUUCUUUAUCAACUUGUGGCCACCUUCAUGCAACAAAAUCUAUUCCCCUAAUUUUUUUAUUUCUUCUUCUUCUUCUUUUUUUUAUUUCUAAAUAUGUUGACUUUUCAUUUCUUUAUUUCACUAUAUAUUAAUUUCUUUAUUUUAACUUUUUUUUUUCAAAUAUAACAAAAUAAACCUAAACUUUUUCACAAUAUAACAAAGAAAGUAUAAAUUAUUUUAAUUAGUUAGAAUUUAUUUUAGGAGAAUUUUCACAAUAUAACAGAAAAGUAUAAAUUAUUUUAAUUAGUUAGAAUUUAUUUUAGGAGAAUUUUCAAAAUUAGUAGAUUUUAUAAAAUAUUCAAAUUCUAUCCUUUAGUGAUAGAAGACUAUCUAUCCAUAGUUUUGCUAUUAGAGAAAAAUUUUAGGAGCAUAUUUAAAAUAGCAAAAUAGCAAAUUGCUAUAGCAUAUCAACCACUAUCAAUAAUAAAAUUUGGUAUCGGUUAAAAAUAUUUUGUAAAAUCUCUAUUUUUAAAAAUUCUCAAGAGUUGAAUUUAAGUGAAAUAAUAUUGAGUUAUCCGAAAAGAAAGGUAGUUUUUGUGAUUAAUAUUACCUUCUAAAAAAAGAAGAAGAAAAAAAUGGUGUGGAAGAUUCUAUGAUUUUUCUUUAUUAUUAUAUAUGAAUUUAGAUGAGAACUACUUUUUCUUUCAUUGGUAAUUAUUCUUUACAGUUGGUUUUGUUUUUUGUUUUUUUGAAAGUAGAGUAGCUUUUGGGAUUUAGUAUCCCAAAGGAGUAAGAAAUAUAUUUUUCUGCUUGGCUUGGGAUUUUGAAUUUAAUUUCAAAUAUAUUAAAAAUGAGUCAAUUUUGUUAAAUUUUUUAUUAAAUUUAAAAGUAAUUUAAAAUAAUAAUAAAAAGAAAGAGGGGUCAUAAAUAAAAUAUACCUGAAUUUCAAUAAGGACAAUUGCAAAAGAAUAAGCAAAAGCAAUAUCUCCAAGUGCUUGAAAACUUCUCAAUUUCUUUUCGGUUUUACUUAUCGAUCCCACACUUACUCCACUAAUUGUUCCUUUAAAUCUCCCACUUUCUGCAUCAAAUUAAACCAACAAUAAUCAUUAACAUAAAUAAAGAUAUAUAUAUAUAUAUCUAUUAUUCUUUUUUUUUAACUUAACUGCUGUAUUUAUUUAUACUCAUUAACUAAAUGAUACUUUGAUUCUAUGCUUUUUGUUUUUAAAAAAGUAAUAGUAGUUUAUCCAAUCACUUUCAUGCCCUAAAUUCUACUCUAGAAUCCGUGUAGUAAAACAGAAAUGGAAAAGCAUUUUGAGAGUCUGUGUAUCUCUCAUCUACUUGAAACAUUUUUAUUUUUCAAACAAAAAUUAAUUUCUUUAUUCACAUCUUCCACUACAAUCAAAAUUGAUUCUACUAAGUGAUAGAAAUGUAUGUUUUUUUCUUUUUUGAAAAUCUUUUUAAGAUUCCACCUCCAUGAAUCCUUCUAAACUCUUCUUUGUUUUAAUAAUAAACUUGUGGAGUUUGUUUCUUCUUCCAAAGCUUUUAAGUUAACCCUAAAUUUUAAAUUAGGCUUCUUUUUAUUUUUUAUUUUUUAAUUAAGAUUCGGAAAAAAACUUUUGAUUGUAGAAAAUAAAUCAAAUAAGUUACACCAAAUAAUAUUCUUUUAAGAAAAGUGAUUUUCACCGUCUUUUUAAUAAAAAAAAACAUUUAUUUAAAAAAGUUAUUCCAAAUAUGCUUAUUAAGAAUAUUUUUUAUGAUAUCAUGAAUUAAAAAUUUACAAAUGUUUUGUAGUUUGGAUUAAUCAAUCCAAAGGAAAACAUAUUUUCAGUUAGGGAUCCAAAUUUAGUAACGUUUACGAAAAUGGAGUUAAAUCAAUAAUGAAAUAUAUAUGUUUGUGUAGUUAAAUAAAAAGAAUAUGAGAAGAGAAAAAGUGAACCUGCCACUUUGGCUAUUCCAAGGGAAAGGCCAAUGAAAGAAUAAGUAAAAGACAUGAUAGCAGCGAGUGUAGAGAGCCACCAAAUCUGAUCAAAAUUUGGAAUUUGAGAUAGAAUUAUUUCCACAACUCCAAAAGACAUCAUGAAUGGGUUGCUUGAAAUAUGACAUGGAUUUUUUCCACCACUACUAUGAAAGCAAUUUGACCUUUUAAUUGCCCUGCCAAUUAAAUUAACAAUAUCACUUUCUUAUCUAUAAUUUUAUUUCCAUAAAUAUCACUUUUAUCAUUAUUCAUCUUGUUAGGCAUUCUUAAAUAUCUAAGACAAGUUUUUUAAAAAAUAAUAAUCUAACAACUCAUUUUUGUUUUUAGAAUAUGACUAUGAGAAAUUGUUUAAUUUUCUAUAUAUUUACGUAAAAAAAAUGAAAAUCAUGAAACAAACACACACACACACACAUAUAUAUAUUUUUAUAAUGAUUUUCAGAUUUGAAAAUUGGAAAACAAAUACAAAAGUCCUGUAGAUGGAAAGUAAAUAUUAAAAUAAAUAAAUUUAUGUGUGGAAAUCACGUGUCUAUGAGCUUAGUCAUAAAAACACAAAUGGUUAUCAAAGAAGCAUUAUGUGUUAGCUUUUAAAACUUGGUUUUUCAAAAGUUAAAUGUUUAUAGAAGAAGAUUUUCGUCUUAAAUUAUAGUUUGGAAAUGUUUUGAAUGUUGAGCUUACAUCAUACUGAUUGAGGACGCAAUCUGAUAUCCAAUUGUUAUUCCCAUCAAGUUUAUGUUCUGCAUUACUCCACAUGCCACCAUAUGAGCUUCACCUAAUUUUAAUGAAAUUAAUAUGUCAAUAAAUAUAUAUGAUUUAAGAAAACAUUGGUUACUAAAGAAAAACAAGAAUAUUUCAUACCAAGGAGGGAGCGAACGGCAUGCAUGUAAGUAGGGUUUCUCUUUCCAGUAAGAGGAUCACCGGAGCGAUAGCAGUCGGCAAGCAAGCAUGAGGUGUAGUGACCGAUGAAGGCGAACAACAACAUGACGGAGGGACCGACAAUCCACCCUAGCUGAGCAAUCGCCCAUGCUAACGAUAACACACCCGAACCAAUAACCGUAGUGAUUAUGUGAGCACUUGCCGUCCAAAGCGUACCUGAUUAAUUAAAACAUAUCAUAACAUAAACAACACGGAGAUGUAUUAUAUUAUGUGAAUUAAGAGAGAUAUUGAUUAUAAUUAAUUAUAUAUAUGAAAAUAUGUAAAUACGUAGGUGAAGUGAUGAGGUACCGGUUCGUUUUGGGUGUCCAUCAUCGUCGAAGCUAGAAGAGUCGUUGAGGGGAAGCACAGCCAUGGGGGUGGCGUGGAGUCAAUGGAUAGGGGAGAUAUGGGGAAAGGUUAUGGAAGGUAGCUGUUUAUAUAAGAGUUUCAAAAGAGGAAAUAAUAAAGAAAAUAAAUAAUAAUAAUAAUAAUAAUAAAAUAAUGCGUUUUGAGAAGGACCCCAGUUUUAAGAAAUUUUCUAUUAUUUCAAUUAUUACCCUCAAAAUUUGCAAGUGAGAGUGGAACCUCAAUGGGUUGCAAAAAAACUGUCGUCCCACUUACCCACUACUGUAUUAUCAUAAUUGAUGAUGGUUAAUUAAAAUCAAAAACCCUCAACUAAUAAUUUUAUUGUAUUAAUCUACACUUUAUUCUUUGAAGAUUGUAUCAUUUACACUUUAUACUUUAUUCUUCAGAAGAUUGUAUCAUUUAUAUUCAUUCCAACUCAUGAUGGUAUUAGUUUAAACUUGUAAGCUUUUAUAUAUAAGUACAUAUAUCAACCUAAAAACUACAAUUUUUUUUUACAGGUGUUUAUCAAUUAUUAAAGACCUGAACUUUCAUAAUUUUAAUUUGGGAGGAAAGUCAAGAUUGAUGAGUUAUUUAUGAAUGAAUAAGAAAGAAAAUUAGUUUAGAAAAUUCUUAACUAAUUUGAGAUUGUAGAAAUACCUCUUUAGAUAUUCGUCUUAGAGAACAUGUGCACGUAGGGAUAUAGUUGAAAAAGAAGGGGGGUUUAUGCAUGUUAAUCUUUUGCUCGAUAUCUUCUUCUGAUCUACAUGAUUGCUGUCAAUUUAAAUAGACAUUGAAGCUUGAUUCCAAUCUUCCGUUGAUCUCUGGGUUUUGCAUGUGAUCCAAUUUGGAUAUAAAUAAGGUCAAAGUGUGAGAUGUGUUUUGUCUAACUCAUCACUCAUACCAAAGCAUUCUAAAAGAAGGUGAAGGACAUCUGUCCUUUCUUUUGACAACUCAAACAUAUACACAAACACAUUUCAAUUUGCCACACCAAAAAAAGAAAAAAAAAAAGAAAAAUCUUUUUUAUUCUACAUUUUCCUUUUACUUUAUAUUUGCUACCGUUGAAGAUCAAAUUUACACUUUUUAAUUCAAUUUUUUUAUUAAAUACUAAUUUUAAGUUAUUAUUAUUAGUAUUAAUAGAGGUGAAUUUAGAUAAAUAAAAGAAUAUUGAAACUAUUUACAUUCUACACCAAACAAAAAAAAAAUGGAGAAAAUAUAUUAAUUUUCUUUUAUUCCAAAAAUAUUCUUGAUGUUUUACUCAAAUAUUUGCCCUCCAUGACAUAUUCUUCUAAUUUAUUUAUCCAUGGUUUUUAUUCUGAUCUUUGUUUGUUUUUUCAAUAAUCGUGUUCAUCCUUUUCUUCUUAUCAGCCUCUUCGUCUACCUCAAAUUUAGGGCUUCAUAGCCAAUGUUUCCACGUCCAUCAUCGGCGACACUUUCUAUUUUGAUAAUCUUUUUUUUCCUUUUCUUCAUCUUAUUCUUCUAUAUUCUUGAAUCACUUUUAAUUAUAAUUUUGUUUCUAUUUAAAAUCAAAUUUCAACCAAACUUCAUCACAAUGUGAAAUUAAUAAGAAGACAUGAAAAUAGAAUUCUUGAAAACGAUAAAGUGAUACUUACUUGCAAGAUUAAUAGUAAUUAAUUCAAAUCGAAUAAAAAGAAUAUUAUACUCAAUUAAAUCUUACAUAAUUCAAUCAAAAUUGUUUGUUAGUGUAACUCUUGAAAAUAAUCAUAAAUUAGCAUACAUUACUAGCAUAUCCACAAAAUUUCUUUUGCUAACAUUCCUUUUUUCUGUUCCUUCUCUUUCUUCUUUCGUUCACAUCCACAAAAUUGAGUCUUAUAGUUUGAUACAAAAUUUUUCGGAGAAACUGAAGGAAAUGAAACCAGGAAUUAUUGCAAAUGAAGUAUUUUUAUAUAAAUUUUCUAUCAUUGUCACAUAAUCAUCUAUCAUUGUAUACCAGUGAUAGUUAUCCAUCACUGUCUAUCUCUGAUAGAAAGUAAUAGAUAACUAUCAUUGUCUAUGUACCAAGAUAAAUAAUUUGCAUAUAUUUUUGUAUAGGAACACACUGCUUUUGAGCGGAAUGAAAAUGGAAAUUUCAAGUUUUGUUUCAUGGCUAUUGGUUCAUCUAUUAAAGGUUGGAGGUACAGUAGAACUAACAUACCAGUUGAUGACACAUUUCUGAAAUGCAAGUUUGGUGGUACUUUAUUAGCAACCUCAAUAGUAGAUGGUAACAAUAAUAUCUUUCAUCUUGCAUUUGCUAUUGUUGACUUAGAAAAUGAUGCAUCCUAGAAAUGGUUUUUAGAAAAUUUGCAUACUUAUUUGGGGGAUCGUGAUCAUUUAGUCAUUAUCUCCGAUAGACAUUUGAGCAUUCCAAAGAGUUUUUUAAGUGUAUUUAUGAAUGUUGAGUUUUGUGUUUCCAUGCAACAUGUUUUCAAAAAUUUGAAGAAGUGUUUCAGAGAUUCUUUUAUCAAUCAAUUUUACUUUAGUUGUGCUAAAUCUUAUACUUUUGAUGACUUUGAGUUCAACAUGAGAUCUAUGGAGUCUAUUUAUACAGACAUACGAAGUUAUCUUAGUAAUGUUGGAUUUGAGAGGUGGUCUCGAGCAUAUUCACGAAGAAGAAGGUACAAUAUGAUGACAACAAAUCCUUCAGAAAGUGUUAACUCGGUUUUGAAAGAGGAUAGAAAUUUGGUUGUUGCAAGUUUACUUGAUGGAAUUAGAGAGUUCUUGCAAAAGUGGUUUCAUGAUCGAAGAGAAGCUAGUUUGUCAAUGAAAACAAUUUUAACCUCUUGGGCUGAAAGUAUAUUACGUAAGCAACAUGAAGAAUCAAGAAGUUUCUGGGUAAGAGUUCUUUUAUUUUUUUUAUUCUUUUCAUUUAGAUAUAUUAUAUCGAUAGAAGAAAGAAAGUCAGCGAUAGAAGUUUGUCACUGUAUAUCAGUGAUAGAACUAUGAAUGUUUAUUUGUAAAUGUUGAUUUUUUUUCUAUUUUUAUUUUGUAGGUUCAUCCUAUCAACAAUAUUGAAUACAAUGUAAUGGUCGGUGAUAAACAAUUGAUAGUGAAGUUGAACUUGGGAUCUUGUAGCUGUCGAGUAUGGGAUUUUCAUGAGAUUCCUUGUUCUCAUGCUCUUGUUGUUCUUUGGAUGCUUAACCUAAAUAGUUAUUCUUAUGUGUCUGAUUAUUAUCAUUCACAGACAUUGUUGUCAACAUAUCUAGGACAUGUGCUACCAAUUGGAGUUCAUUCAAAUUGGAGGCUUGUAAACGACGACAUUGGAGCUUUACCUCCUAUUUUUAAACGUUCAGUUGGAAGACCUAAAAAUUUAAGAGUUCCAUCAAUUGGUGAAGUUAAUAGUAGCUCAACAAGAUGUAGUAGUUGUCAUGGCAAGGGUCAUAAUUCUAGAACUUGUAAACUUCGUCAAAUUAAUCAAUGAUGUAAUCAUUAUAGUUGUAUUUUUAUGUUGGAUCACCAAAUGGAUUUAUAUUGGAAUUUAUGAGUGUUAUUUUUUCAAAUUCUUUAUAUGAAUAAACAUUGUCGAUGUCUUUGUUUGUAUUCAACUUUGAAUUGAAACAUGUGGUGUAUAAACUCAUGGAAACUCUAUGUAUAUAUUUUCAAAUUAAAUCCUAUAAAAUUGAAUCGACAUUGAUACCAGUUUCUAUCAUUGAUAAGAAUGCAUUAUCUAAUAAGAACUGAUAAUUUUCUAUUAGUGAUAAAACUGAGAGAAACUAUUAAAAAUAAACUCUAUGUAUCAAUUCUUCUAUUUUUAUUUAAGAAGGGGGCUAAUACAGAGAAAAAAUUAUUUAACACGUGUUGGUUACUUCUUUAAAGCAUACAUUUAAGUUAAGAAUCUUGGGUGAGUUAGAUAAAUUAGAUGGUUGGUGAGUGUUGUCUAAGUAUGACGAUGCUUGUCUAGGUAUUGAACAUUUGUAAGGUUUAAGCUAAGCAUGGGUAAGAGAAAUGUUGAGCUUACAUGUGUGUAACAAUUUAAGAAGGAGCUAGCAAGCUUAAGGGAAAUUAUAGAUGACUAAUCCAAUUUUGGACUAGUAUAAAUAGGGAUGGAAGGUUAAAGAAAGGAACGUUAUGCUAAAUUCUUGAGAAUACUCUAGUGUAAAAAAGAAUCACAAGGUGAGAAGAAGGUCUUUGGGGAAGUAGGCAUUUUGAAGAAAGGAAUUUAGUCAGUGAGUGAUUUUCCAAUGUAGUAGUUUCCUUAAGGAAUGAAUCCUAGUCUUGAAUAAGGGGUCACACCUUCUCACUGACUAGAGAUCAGCUGAGAUUAAGUUUAUAGGUUGAACCUUAAACCAAUUGUUCAAUAGUUGAUUAGUGAAAAUAAAGGAGCAAGAUGUAACCUCGGGGGUAAAAUGGUAUUUUGACCCAGUCGAGGUUACAGAAAACUUGUGAUAGAUUAACUUAUUGAUUAUGGUUAUUUCAGAUGGACACAAAUAUAUCUAUAGUGAGGAGAGUGCAACUACAAGAAUUUAAUGGAAAAACCUAUUAGCUAACUAAUGUUGAUUAUCGCGAUCUAAAAGGAUUUAGCCAGUUAAUCUCAAAUCGUUGAAACCCAUGAUCUAUAGGUCCAUUAGAUUUCCCUGCUGGCUCAUAUGAAAUUUAACUUAGAACAAUAUGUUGGAAUAAUUUGAAUUGUUUGAAUUAGGUAAAUAUUGAGAAACCGACAAAUGUAUAUGAUAUAAUCGUCGGCUAUAAGUUUAAGAUAGAGCUUUAUGUUUAAAUUUGAUUUAAAUAUUACACAUAAAUAGGCUUUAUGUAUUUUUUGCAUGUAACUUGGUUAUAAAUAGGGUUUUUUUUUUUUUUUUUUUGCCAAAAUUAGUACUUUUGAAUUGCAAAAUAUUAACCUAUUUUUCUCUCUAAAGAUCUUAACCCUAAAAUUCCACCUCCAAUUUCCUUCACCUAUCGAGUCUCACAAUUUGGUGAAUUAACACUAGUGGUGGUGCCUAGUUCGAGUUCGUGAGAAGAUUACGAGGAACGAGAAGCUUCGAAGAUAUCUGUUUUCUUUUAACCCUAAUUUCAUUAAUUAGGGUAUUUAUGCAUGUUAAUUACUAAAUAGUUUAGUUGCAAUUAGGGUAAAUAGAUCUUUUUUUUUUUUGCUGUACAUGUUUAUUACUCCAUCAUUUUUAAGUCAAACAAAAAGGGAAGAAUGAGUUCAUUUAGCAUGUACACGCUAGUAUUUCAAUUCAUUAUCUAUUAUAGUUUGGUUGGGGUUGAUAUGAUCUUGUUUGGUUUAUGUUUUCAUGCUUUUCUUGGUUUAGAUUGCCUUUAAAAAAAUAGCAAAAGGGGGAGAUUGUUAGGAUUUUUUAAAAGUAUUUAGCUUAUUUAUUACAUGCAAAAUUUUAAUUUCGUGUUUAAGUAAAAUGUUAUGUGACGUACUAAUUUUGUCAUGAAGUUGAUCGUUUUGAUGUUGAUUUAUGAAAUGAAUCUUUGCUGGUGUGCUUUUUUGUCUUCUACAAAAUGUCAUAAAACAAGUUGUGACGCUGUUACUAUUGAGUUUUAUGUCCUAAAACUCGUAGAUAGUAAAUAUAAUUCAUUGAUCCUUAUUAAUAGUGUUUUAUUUCAACAAAUGUUAUUGAUUAUAUUAUUAGUUUUGUCUUAAUAACCUAAAUCAAAUAAACUAACAUUCUAAGUUGUUUGAUGAGUUUUGAACAGUAUGUAGAGACAUAAAGGGAUCAAUGUUCGAGAUCAGGUCUAUAAUAUAGGGAUAAGGUUGGGUACCUUAUUAUGGUAACAUUAUGGAUACGACUCAUUUUGUAUUUACUACAAACGCAAUGAUCCAACAUGUUCAUGUAAGUGACAUGCGAGUGAAUGUAUUCUAUGCAAUGAGUUUCAUAAGACCAAACCACAAAAUACUAACCACUAGAUGUAACUCCAUUAACUAGUUAAGUUUCUAUUUCAUUAGGUAACUUAGUCUUAAUCCUGAGUGUAUUAUGAAGUUCUGUUUGCGAGAGAUUAUCCUUUAAUUUGUACGGAUGAAAGUGACCAUAUUGCCUACUCAAUAUGCUUAGCAUUUUAAGGAGAAGACCGAGUGGGGAGUUGGAAACAUAAUCACACAAGAUGAAAUUCACUUAUUUCCAACUUUAUGAUAACUAGACGAGUGUUCCCUUAAAUGGUGUCUCCGGGACUUGAACAAAGAUCCCUACUUUCUCUAUGGCGCGAGGGGGUUUCUAUUUAGUGGUUGGACCAUAAACAUAUUGUUCAUUAGAGGAGCACUGCUAUUUAAGGACUAAAAGUAACCUAGGGGUAAAACGAUAAUUUGACCCAACUGGUGUUAUGAACACUUGUGAAUGAAUAACUGACUGUUAUUGGUCUAUAUCCUUGACACAGAAAUAUAUCUACAUCGAGAAGAUCAGUUCAGCUGUGAGUCUUUAGUGAAGUGUGCACACAGUUAACGAAUAUUGAUUAAUGUGGUUAAUGAGUUUAGCCAAUUAAUCUCAUAUCAUUGUAGUUUCUGAUAUGUAGGUUCAUUAAGUCCCUUUCCUAGCUCGUAAAGGAUAAUGAGAUUUAUUUGUAUUAGUUGUAAUUUAAAAUGUUCAAAUUUAUUUUGAAAAUUAAUAUAAUAUAUGGUGAUACAUUAUAAUAUAAAAUUUAUAUUUAAUUAAGCUUUAUUAUAUAAAUUUAAUUUUGGGUAUAAUUCAGAAUUAAUUUAUGAGAGAUCAAAUUGAUUUAUAUUAAAACUAUAAGUUAAAAUUUAAUAGGUAUAUAACACACAUUAAAACUAUACAUUAUGAGAGAAAAUUAUAUUUGAAUAUGAUUCAAUUUUGGAUUAAAUUAAAGAGAAAAAUUUUAAAAUAAUAGAUUUUACAAAAUAUUUACAACCUAUAAUAAAUUCUAUCACUGAUGGUCAUUGAUAUGCUAAAAAUCCAAAAUUUUGUUAAAGCUUAUAAAUAUUCUAUCACUACCUCUAAGAAGAAUUCUCUUUCAAAAUUUCUCAUUCUAAUUUUGGUUUCCACCCACCAAAAUUUUGGUUUUCAGGUGGUGGUAGUGCCACAAAUUUGGUGAUUGGCAGAUCGACAGACUUCUGUGUAAUCUCUAAUUUUAAUUUUGAAAUCAUGCUUAAUCUUAGAAUUUAGAAUUUAGUUUAUGUAUUUAAUUGCCCAUGUAUUGGUUUUUUAAAUUUCUAUUAAAUUGAGUAAUAUUACGAACAUUUUUUCUCUAUGUAACAAAUGAGUUUUAGAUUUUUGCAAUUUAACAAAAUGAUUUCCUUAAUUUCGAAAUAUUUUUUGACCGUCGAUCUGAAAGAGAUUGGAUUUGGAUUUUACAGGUAAUGUUGAGAAAUUUUCCUUAGAAUAUUGAGAAUCUUAAGGCUUGGUGGCUCCUCAGCUUUCAUUGGCAAGAUUCAUUUUCACUAAUUGCUUAAAUCUUCCCAUUUAAUCACGUCGUUGAAUCAUUGACUGCUUUUAUAGUUAGAACAUUGGUUGGCUCCUCAGCUUUUAUAGUUAAUUUUGUCCUUAUAUUAAGUAUAUGUCAAUUGAUAAUCUCUUAAAUGAGUUUACUAAGAGGAAUAUGAGCAAUUAUUUUUGGUGCAUACAUCUGUCUUUCAUGGAGGAUAAAGGAUCUCUUGAUGUUGUUUUGUGACUACGUGUUUUGUACUGGUAUUUUUGCUUACAGUAUCUGUCCCCUACACCAGUGAUUUCUACUUUCUGAAGCUACUCGAAAACUAAUUUGAUCUUAAUCAUGUAAUGUUGCAGACUUUGAAUUCUUGAACUACACCAUCAUCACAUUGAAGCUACUCUAAAACUAAUUUGCACAUUGCAGCAUCUUUGCUUCUUUACUCCACUCCUUAUUGAUGGUUUUUCUUUCUAAUUGUAUAGGUUGAGGUGUAAACAAUGAGUCUUUUAACGCCAGGUGGUAUCAGCUAAACCCUUCUCAUUUUUCUAAACUCUUCUCUUUCUUUAAUUGCUUUCUCUUCUUAGCUUUUUUUUUUCUGCUAUAGUUUUAAAUUUUUCGAUAGCUUUUAUCUUCUUGUUCUAACAUUUUUAGCUUUGUCACUUGCACAUCAAAGAAAUAAAAUAAGGACUCACGACACCUCAUCUAAUGAAUGAGUUGAUUGAAAUUAUUUGUUUGAGAGUAAUUUUGAAAUUGAGAAAAUGUGAUUUCAAGAACUUCAAAAUUCACUCUCAAACACCACAUAAGAGUUAAAUGCUUAAUCUGGAUGCACUCUAUUGUUGUCGGUAGUUUUAUUUUUGAAGGUUGUACUAAUAUUUGUCUACACGUACCCAAUGUCGGUUUAUAAAAAAUGGAUAAUAAUGCAACAAUUAAAUAAAAAUAGAUUUACAAAAAUAGAUCCAAAAACAAGACUUUAAUGUCUGUUUUAAAACGUCAGCAUACAAAAGAUCUUGAAUAACACUAUAAAAAAUGACAUUAAAGGCCUUUAAUGUCGUUUUUAAUGUUGUUUUUAAACCGACAUUAAUGAGGCCUUUAAUGUCGUUUUUAAACCAACAAGGAGAAAUGACAUUAAAGACCUUUAAUACCGCUAGCAUAGAUGUCGGUUGCCAAUCGACACCAAAGGCCAUUAAACCGACAUUAAAGGCCAAAUUUAUUCUAGAGCUUGUAGAAUUGAUUUAUUAUGUUUUUAAUAUAUUCUCAACCUAUCCAAAUACAUAUAUGGUGAUGUAAUUCAAUUUAAGGUUGGUCGUUUUGAAGAAUAUUCAAGUCAUUAUCUUGUGUAUGUCGAAAACACAAGUGUGUCAAAUCUAUGAAAUUGUGAAGUUUUUUCCAUUGUUGAUCUUCACUUAUUCGCUAGAUCUUAUUGAUUCGUUCAAAAUGAGUUCUAUUUUAUGAUGGUGGAAGUUCGACUCAGAAUCUUUGUUGAUCUUAAUAUCGUGCCAUUGUUCAUUGUUGAAGCGUGCUUUGGAGAAGAUCAGUUGGUCUUAAUGGGAGCCUAAGACAUCAUCUCUUAAGAAGAGGUUCUCUAACUUAGAGGGAGCAUAAGUUCAUAACGUGAGGAGAUAUUCAUAAGAAUGAUGGAAAAGAUACUAGUAGAGAAGAAACCUUUCACUUAAGGGGAGCCUAAGUGUUCAUUCAUACUAUUCAUAUUAAAGUUAGAGGGAGCCUAAGAACGUUAAAGGUGAGGGGGAUCUCACACUUAGGGGUAGCCUAUGAACAAACGCCAUAUUUUUCAGUUUAGUACUUAACUGAUUUUCUUGACGUUUCAAUUAUCAUCCUAAUGUAUUUACUCCUUUUCCAAUUGAGUCCUUACUUUUCAUCAUAUAUGUCAAAUUUUGUUGAUAUAAAAAGGACAUGUAAUGUGAAAUUAUAUUGUCUAUUAACCUGAUUGAAAUUGUGGGAUGUGCUCUAGUUUGUUGAAGUAAACAUACUACUAGUAGUAUGUGUUAUAGUGUUCAUCUAAGUUUACGGAUCUACAGCAUUUAUCAUGGAGAAAUGUUACAGUUUCAAAUCUUCCAACUUUACAUCUCAUAUAUAUAUAUAUAUACAUGACAUAUUGUUGAAUACCAUUAUGGAUCCUAUACUUAUUCAAUAUUAUAUAUAUAUAUAUAUAUAUAUGACAUGAUAGAUGAUGGUGAUCGUGUUUGUAGAUAAUUGAUCCACUGCUAAAAUGCAUAUAUGUUGCUUCCACAAUUAUUUAGGUUGAGGACUUAGUUGAAGAAAAGAUUCAUUACAUAAUAGACUUAUUUAUACACCUCUAAAACAUUAAAAGAAAAAAACCAAGUUAAAUAUAAUGGGACUAAAAUAUGUGGUUGGAAAUUAAAAGGCACACAAACAUAUAAAGAACUAAAUUAUGUGGUUGGAGUUGGUAUGACUUAGACUACUUUCCUAAUUCGUAUAAACAGUGGAACACCUGGGUAUUCCAGUUGAGUCAACACAAUUAAUUUUAACAAAAAUUUGGCCUUUGCCUUUCUUUAAUCUAAUGUUGAACAAUAAAUUUAAUUUUAACCAAAGUUUUGGUUGGUGGUAUUAUUGUUUUUGUUUAAAUAUCAUUUUCAUCUUUAUACUUCUUCCAUUUUAUUCUUCUUUCAACUUUUAAUAAAUAUUAAAUAAAAUUUUAAAAUUAUAUUUUCAUAUUGUGUUUUUUAUAAAAAUUAUUACCAUUAUUUAAUCACUUAAAUUUAAACCAAUUUCAAAAUGCACUAUUGAAUAACCAAAGAUUUAGAUAAAAUAUGUGAAUCUAAUACAAAAUUUGAGAAAUAUCCUAAAUUAUUAUUUAUUUUCUUGAUUAGGCUUUACUAUAUUUUUAGGAAAAUUAUAAUCUUAUUAUAUAUAAUUUUCCAAAUUAAAUUCAAAUUAUUUCUUUAUUUAUAUUAUACUCAACUUAUUAUAUAAAUGGUAACUUCUUUAAUUAUUAAUACAUAUAUAUUUAUAUUUAUUAAUGAAAUUUUUAUUACGUUUGUAAUAAUUUAAAUAUGAUAUAAAUUAUUAUCUUACAUGAAAAUAAUAUUUUUAAUUAUAAUACAAAAUAAUUAAUUUUUAAUUUCAUUUUCAAAAGCAAAAGUUUUUUUCUCACGACCAUCAAUUUCGACAUUGGCUUUCUUCUCUGAUUUGUAUUUUAAAAAAUUGCUUUCUUUUUCACUUUCGAUUUUCUAUCGUAUAUAUAGUUGGUCUUUUUUUUUUCCUUUCGUAGCAUAUAUUUUUUUUUUCCUUAAAAAAUUUGUUCUUCUUCCGUUCCGUAGCAUAUAUUUCGAUCAUGUUUCUUCUAUUUGUUUAAUUUUUUAUUAAGGUAAUUAUAAUUGAUGAUCAUUUUAUGAAUAAUAAUUAAGGAUAUAGCAACAUUUAAAAAAAAAUUACAAAUAUAGCAAAACUGUCGCUGAUAGACUUGUGUCGCUGAUAGAUUUGUAUGAUCUAUCAAUAAUUGACCAAUAUUUACAACAUAAUAUAUCGGUGAUAGACUUCUAUCAUUGAUAGAAUUUGACAAAUUUUGCUAUAUUUACAAAUUUUUUUAAAAUGUUGCUAUAUACUUAAUUAUUUUGCAUCUAAUGACUAAAUUUGCAACUAUCUCAUUUUAUUAUUCAGUUCAUCUUCCUGUCAUCCUCGAUAUAUAAUUUUUAUUAAAUGAUUUGUCAUUCGUAUAUACUAUGAUAUACCACUAAAUAAUAAAUAGGGAUAGUUGUAAAUUUAGCAAUUAAAUUCAAAAUAAUUAAGUAUAUAGCAACAUUUAAAAAAAUUGCAAAUAUAGCAAAAUUUGUAAAAUUCUAUCAAUGAUAGAGUCUAUCACUGAUAGACCAUGUUGUAAAAAAUGAUCUAUCACCGAUAGAUCAUACGAGUCUAUUAGUGAUACAAGUCUAUCAGCGAUAGUUUUGCUAUAUUUGCAAUUUUUUGAAAAUGUUGUUAUAUCCUUAAUUAUUAUUCCUCAAAUCGUCACUCAUUACAAUUACUCUAAUAAAUUUAUGUUUUGUGAUUUGUCACAUAUAUACUACCACAUAUAUUCAAUAAUACAUACCCAUAUUCUUUUUCUUGUUAUGUGAUUUUUUCUUAUUGCGUAUAUAUACUAAUAUAUACAAAGAUUAUAUAUUCAUUUAGAUUUUUUUUUUUAUUUCUUACAUAUAUGCUAACUAAAUAAUUCAUUUAUGUUUUGUGAUUUGUUACAUAUAUACUACUGCAUAUAUUUAAUAAUACAUGCAUAGAUGUUUUUUCAUGUGUUGUGAUUUUUUUUACUGCAUUUAUAUACCAAUAUAUACACAGAUUAUGUAUCCGAUCAACAUUUUUUUUAAUUAUUACAUAUAUACUACUGCAUAAUACACAUAUUUUUGUUAUUUGUUACAUAUAUAUUACUUCAUAUAUUCAAUAAUGCAUAAAUGAUGUUAUCUUCAAUAUACUCAAUAUAUCUUAAUGUAUUUCGAAUACGAAAUAUAAAUUCUUACUAAUCUUAAAUUUAUGUACCAGUUGGUUGUCGAUGCUCUUCUUCUUCACCAUUUAUAUUUUUCCAAAUAUUCUAUUAUUUUGCGUCUUUUGUGAAGAAAAUGAAAUCAAUAUUCAACGUAUAUAUUCAAAGAAUGAAACAUUUAUUUAUUUUUUAAUUUUCUAAACCGUAACCCACGUCCCUGAUUUCUCUCCUUGUCAGUCCACAUUCUAUAAACAAAUUGAUAUAAGAACUUUUCAUUCAUAAAAUAUACACCGUAUUAUUAAAUAAAUACUAUAAUUAGGUAGAAUAUAUGAAAAACAAUGCAAAAUGAAAGAAAGAUUGGACGGAGAGAGAUUGAAAAGUGAGAGAGAUCGAGAGAGAAGAUUUUUUUAACAAAAUCACCAAAAUAAAAAUAAUUACAGGAAUUUUUUUAUUAUAAUAUUACCAUAAUAGAAUUAUUCACUUACCAUAUUUACCUAACAUAUCUAAUAAAUGAAAAUAUUAAUCAUGAUCUAUUUUUCUUUUUUAAUAUAUUAUUAAUAAUAAAAGGGUAAAUUGGUCAUUUGGGCCUUAUAUUUGUGAUAAAUAUUAGGGGUGAAAAAACACGAACCGAACUGAAUCGGUUUGGUUCGGGUUGGAUUGAGCUUCAACAAUGUAAGUGAAUUCACACUUCUCAUUUCUUCGUCUUCAGCACCGGUCCUUCAUCUUCGUCAUUCGCCAGUCCUUCAUUCGCCUUCCUCCUACACGAAUUCACGUGGGUUCGUUUUCUUCAUUCGUGGGUUCGUUCUCCAUUCUCCAUUCUCCAUUCUUCGUUCUUCGUUCGUCGCCAUUCUCCGUUCUCUGUGGCUUCGUUCGCUGUAAAAUUUUCAAGCUAAGCCAUCUUGAUUCUCAUCGUGGAUCUUCUCUUUCUCUUCUUGGAUCGAAACCGCGGGUAAAUUUCCUCCUCUUUUUUUACACGAUUUUCAAACAUAUUCCCUCUUUUCCUUUACUCCCUUUACUUCGUCGGUAAAUAUUAUGUUUGUUUUAUGGAGAACUUCUGUUCAUAAUUUUAUGUUUGGUGACUUUUUUUUCUUUGUCCUAAAUUGAACCUGGGUAGCUACUCUUAUUGAAAUACAAUUUUGUUUUAAGUUCAAGCACUGUUCAUAAUUUUAUGUUUGUGUAUAUAUAGGUUGCUAUUGUGUGGUUGCUGUGGAUAUUUCUCUUCCCUGUGCUAUUUAAGCAUUCUUUGGAUAUCAUGGCUAUUAGGGUAUGGAUUGGUUGGUGUGCUAUUUAAGUUCAAGCAUUCUUUGCUAGUUUAUUUCUAGAAAAUGAAAAUAUAUAUUUUAUUGUUUUCUCAUUAAAGAUAUAUGAGAUAUAUGCUUUGUUGUGUGGGGCUGCAAAUUUUGUUUGUUUAUGCUUUGUUGUGUGGGACUACACAUAUCAUGGUACAAAUUUUGUUAGUGUAGAAAAGUAUUGUCCAUUGGAGAUAUAUAUUUUACUUAUUGUUUUGUUUGAUGAUUAUUAGUUAAAAAUUGUGUGCUUUUUUUUUGUUUGUUUUGUUUGAUGAUUAUUAGGAUGACUUCAUUCUCUAUAGAUGAAACUUCAAAUCAAAGUUGUUCUAGUUCAGUGUUAGGAAAAAGAAAACCGGUUAAACCACCAUCAUCGGUAUGGAAACAUUUUAUAAAAGUAGAAAGAUGUGAUCCUAAAUUUUCUAGGACUGCUUGUAAAUAACAUUGUAGGACUUCAUAUGCUUGUGAUUCCAAAAAAAAUGGAAUAUUAUUUUCGAAGUAAGCAUUUAAGAUUUAAAAUUGUCUCAUUAAGCUAACAGUUUGUCAUUUUGAUCUAGAAUUCAUAAACAUAGGAAAUGAGAUAGAAACUGCAUUUGAGAAUUGAAUCAUAACUCUAUGGUAUAAAUUCCUACUCUCAAAUCUAUUUACAUUUCUUUUGUUUUAAAUUGUUAAUAUCUUUGAAUCUUGUUUGUUUAGAAUCUUGAAGCACAAGGAUGAAUAAACUUUAUACUUCUCGAGUUCCAUCACAGUAAGUUAUUUGCUUAACUUAUAAAUAUUCUUUUUCUAGAUAGUUCACUAAAUUAGUAAAUUCAUUCUCCAUGCAAUAGGGGAGAAGGUGGAAUAUUGGCUAGAUUUGUGGUAAUAGACUAAUAGGUGGAAAGUUGAAUGUUGGAUACCAUCAUGGUUGUUUUGUUCUUUGUUCUACUCUCAAAUUUGAUCCACAUGGUUCUUUUAUUCUUUUGUUCUACUCUCAAAUUUGAUCCACAUGGUUCUUUUAUUCUACUUACAAAUUUGAUCCAUCCAAGCUUGUAAAUUAUAACAUACUCCACCAAUUGCACUGUAAUUAUAGUGAUUGUGACGAAUGUGUAUGAGAGUCAACAUUAUUAAAAUUGGUUAUUUUGCAAUCACCAUUUGAAAUAAAGAAAUAGAGAAAAGAGAAGAAGAAGAAGAGAGAAAAGAGAAAAUAGCAAAGAGAGGAGGAACAAAAUUCGACCCGACCCGAAUUUUGGGUCAUAAUUGAAAGAGACUUGGGUCGGAUCGGGUCUGGGUCGGGUUUGAAGGAAAACCGACCCGACCCAGUCCAAUUACACCUUUAAUAAAUAUUAGUCAAUUUAGUACAUUUCUAAAAAAUUAGGAAAAUUUGGAUUAAUCUUGUAAUAUGGUAUAUUAUUUUAGGAUAUCUUAAUUAAAGACCCUCAAAUGAAUCCAUCUUCUCUGUUUACCUAGCUGUAUAUCGUAGAUAGACAGAGAUAGAACAUUAUCACUAAUAGAUCGUUUUGAUUUUGUAUAAGAUCGUUUCGACUAGAUAUAAGAUUAUUUAGAUUUGAUACAAAAUUGUUUAGACUGAGUAUAAGAUCAUUUAGACAAGAUUGUUGCUAAGAGAUCGUUUAGAUUUGCUACAAGAUCGUUGUUACAAGAUUGUUGCUAAGAGAUUGUUUAGACUAGCUACACAAUCAUUUUUUCAUGUGUGUGUGAUUGAUUAGUCACAUGGUAUUUUUGUUAUUUCAUCCUGUGGGUUUGUGAAUCUUUUUAUUUUUUAAAAUUGUUAUAUAUAGUGUAAAUAUUUUUACAUUUUGUUCUACUUUUUAAAAAACCUCAUUUAAAAACAUGCUAGUGUAUUUAAAACCAGAUAGGAUUUUUAAUUUAUAAGGUUAUCCUCAAGAAUACCAAAAUAAAAGAAACUAUUUACAAAAAUCAUCUAAUUCUUUCUGAUUGAUUUAAUUUUCUUUCGUAAUAUUAUGUAACAUUUUUUUUAAUCUAUAACAACUCUUCUUUAUUUAUCUAUUUUCACCUAAUUAAAUUCAAUUUCUACUUUUCAUAAGUUAAGUACAUUAAUUUUUUUUUUUAAAGAAAAAUAGUAUACAAUAUGAAUUUUAAAAAAAAGUAUACUAUUUCCUAAAUAUUUAAAAUUAAUUUAUAAGAUUUUCUUUUAUCACACUAAACAAUUAUUUUAAAUUUUAAAUUUGAGAAAAAAAAAAAGUUAGAGUGAUUAUAUCUAAAAUAUGAUGUUAUUGUAUUUAUUACGGAGCACUAUAACCUACUUUUUCAAGUACACUAUUUCACUUCUUUUCAUAGCCAAUUAUUCUAAAACUGCAAUGGAUGACAAUUAUUUUUAAAAAUAUGGCAAUUACAAAUAAAGCCUUCAAAUCUUUGCAAAAGUUUUUAAAAAGAUUACAAAAUCAAUCCGGGUUUAAUUGGUACAAAAUGAAAAGGUGAAAAAAUCUCAAGAAGUGACUAAAAAGUAAAAGACCAAAUGGUAUAAAGUUUCCUUAGAAUUUGUACUUUUGUGUCAAAUGAACCUUUAUACUUUAUACUUUUAGAAGAUAAAAAAAAGAUACCUUUAAACUAAAAGUUAAAAAAUAUCCUUAUAUUAGUUUUGGAUAGAAACCAUUAGUACUUUGUUUUAGAAGUGUCACACCCCGUUUAUUAUCCGUCUAAAAAUAUAUUUUUCCUAAAAUAAGUGACGGUAAAAGUAAGUUAUAAAAUUUUGCACAAAUUUCGGUGGAGGUUUUUCCAAAAAAAAUAGAUUUAACUACAUUUGAAAAAGUAACAAUUUUAAAAAUAACAAAAUAAAUUAAAAUAUUUACAAGCUAUAGCAAAAUUUUGGAUUGUAUAACUGACUGUAACGACCCAACUUUUCUAACUAAGUCCAAGUCUUUAAUUUCAAACAAAGACCUGAAUUUACAUAAAAAUAUCAAGUUCAAAUAAAUUCAAAGUCUGAAAGAGAGCAAAAUUUAUAUUUGGAACCUGUUUAAAAUAACCAAAACUUUCAAAGAAAAGCUUACAAAUCACCCGUUCGUGAAUUCAGUUAAACUACAAAAUUUUCUAAACAGUCUCAUGUACUAAAACAAAACAAGAAAAUAAAACAUUAAGCUGAAACAAAUUUAAAAUGUCCCAUAUGGCUAUCACGCUUCCUUCCUGUUCCUCGCCGGUCUACCUCCACUGUUACCUUUGACUGAAAAAGUUAAACAUGAAAGGGUGAGUAACAUGAAAGGGUGAGUAUAAACAUACUCAGUAAGAGACCCACUACGGGUCCCGUUAGGAGAAAAUAAACUGUUAACUUUCUAUUAGGGUACCCUACACCGUCACAGUUUUGUGAUCCCAUAGGAUACACAUUAUGAGUCACAGUCUUGUGAGCAUGUACGUUACACAUAAUCAAUCUAACGCCCCGAGGGAUGCACAUGUCAGUCUAGUGUUUUACAGAAGUAAAACACAUAUAAGUCUAAUGCUCCCGAAAGAUGCAUUAUAAGUGGUGAUGCCACAUGACACCUACUACAAGGCACACAUCCCACUAGAAAGCUAACAAUACACACAAUUCAUGUGUCUACGUCCAUACGCAUAUAUAUAUUAGUGGUGAGUCCAGUAGUAGAGAAUCUCUUACCUUAAGGUUGCUCAAUUUCUAGAACAACUAUAUCCAACAAAAGACACCAAGGUUUUGGCGAACCGAACUCAAAAUUCACAAUUUGGUUGUGAAUUCAAGUGACCCAAUGUUAUUUCCAACACCUUCAAAAAUCAAAUAACAAAUUAAUCAACCAUUCCAACCAUAAUGUUUGAACACUUGAAACAAUUACAACCCAUAACCUAAAUUGUUACCAACAAAACAACUUUGACCAUUCGCAGACGAAAGAAGCAGCGACUAUUGAUCCCAACGAAAAAUCGUGCAAAUCGAUCAGAGUGUAAGUUGGCUUGUAACUCACGGUUGGAAGUCGAAAAGUUAUGGCGGCACAGGGCGUUCGGUGGACGGUUGAUGAAGCAAGCGGCGGCUUCACGAAUCGGGACGAUAGAGACGGAAUGAAAGGGCUGAGCAACGACGCUCUGGCUUUAGCCCGACGAACGACAGCGUGUACGGCUGCUGGGCUUCGUCGAACGGAAAAGAGAAAGAUGGUGGCAGAACAUUUCGACUUCGAUAGAGACAGCACCGAUGACGGCGGACGGCUACUGAAAACGUCGCGUUGUGGCGUGACCGGCCGAAACGGAAGAAUGGGAGAAUGGAGACAGACGAUGACUGGGUAGGCACGGGAAAGAAACGAGAAAAGAAAAGAAAGAUGAAGGGGGUGGGAGGCACACACGUGAGAGAGGGGAGAGAGAGAAAAAGAAAAUGUUUCUUUUCUUUUAUUUAUUUUAAUAAAUAAUAAUAAUAAUAAUAACAUUGAUUGUCUCACCAUGCAAACUUUAGUAUAAUAUAAAUCCCAAUCAAAUUCUCAUGCGUAAACUAAAAAAGAAAAAUAGUUUAUAGUCCAACGGUAAAUUUAUUUAAAAUAAACAUCCCCUAACAUGCCACUAAUGUAAGACCCAAACUUUAGGUGGUGUAGUUUUUCCAAAGAGUUUAAGUGGUUUGAAAGAAGGAAAAUGUUUGGUUAAGUGAAUCUAGGCGAGAUGACCUUGAAAAUUAGCUAUGCGUUUUGGACAACUAUGUGUCAUGAUAAGUGAAAGUUGUUUAAGGAUUUAUUGAAGUGUUAAAGCCUUGUUAGCAUGUGUUCUUAUGUAUAAAAGUAAGCAGGAGGUGCCUUAAGAAUGUUUAAGGUGGAUUUAAGCAAGGAUGGGGUGUCAACUUGUACUCGUGCAAUGAACUCUAUAAAUAGGCCAUCUUCAGUAUUGAGUUUCUCACAAUCCACUAGAGCGUUUUGAGUGAUUUUAUGCUAAAAAAUUUAUCUUUUAAGUCUAUUUUCUAUAUUAGGGAUGUUGGUUUAAUUUGGGAAAGAGAAAGCUAAGUUUGAGUUAAAAGAAGAGAGGAAGGUCAUUCUUUGGUAAAAAUUGAAUAGUAUUUACUCCAAGGAGGCUACAGGACGCAUUCGGUUGGAUCUUUUGCUGUAAAUUUGAGGUAAUAUUAUUAAGAUGUUUUUCAAAAACUCUGUAGAAGCAAAUAUUUUUAUUCGAGUUCUGGAUUUUAAGUUAUAAAGCUCUAAAUAAGAAGCUGAGUUCUGACUGAGAAUGAGCUUUUGGACAGUGGCCGAGUUUAAGAAAUUAGCAUGGCAUGUUGGGCAUGCGUUUUGGUUUUAGAAAGGUUUUUCUAAGCAAUUUGGGUUGUGUUUGAUGUUAGUUGGAGCUCUUUUCCAUCAUUUCAGGACAAGAGGAAAUCAUGCAAACUUAUGGACCAAGAGUUUGAUCUGCGAUUAGUGAGUGAAAAAUGAAUUUAUUAAAGUUAUUUCAACUUAUGGUUUGUGAGUGAAAAAUGAAUUUACUAGAUUAUUUCAACUUAUAAAAUGAUUCCUAAAUUAACGGUUCUAAUAUAUUUUACAAGUUAUUAUUUAAGUAUGCUUUUAAGUUAAUCUUAUUUUUAUUUAUCGAUAUGUUUACGAAAAGUGUUAAAGCAUGUUAUUUAGAAACGUAUUCUAAAGCAUGAGUUUAUAAAGGUUUUUAGCAAACAUGUAUUUAUAAGAUUUACAAGCAAUGAUUUAUGAAAAGCAGGAGUUUAAUAGAAUGUUUUUAAGGAGAAAAUCAUGGUACUCUAUAUACCGUGUUCUCGAUGGUCAAUGUGUACAGUUAGGGGUAUAGGGCUAUGAUGACCACUUAGUUGUUACCACCGAGUUCAGGCAAGAUUAGUAUGAUCAAUGCUCUACUAUCUUGACCGAGUUCAGGCAGGAAUAUUAUGACCAAAGGUGCUUUGCUAUCCUGAUCAAGUAUUUAAUUGAGGUUUAGUGGGAUAGUAUGAUAGAAGGCGCUCUGCUAUCUUGUUUAUGUUUUUCAGGGUAUAGAGUAUACAGAGUUAAAUUAGUAUUUAAAUGUUAGAAAAUGUUUAGUUUAAAGAGACUUUUUAAAGAUUUUACCAGAUGUUUAUGAAAUAUUUAAAGUAUGGUUGUUUUAAAAGUUUGUUUUAUAAAACCAUCACUCACUGGGCUUUUAGCUCACCAUUUCAAAAUGUUUUUUCACUUUCCAGGUAGAGGUCUUGAUUCGAGAAUCUGAUUGUUGUCUUUAGGUUGAUGUGCAAAGUUAUUCGUAGUUAGUGUUAUUAAGAGUUAGUUUUAAUCUUAUUGUGUACAAGUUUGUAAUCAGCCGCAUUUAGCCUCAACUACCUGUUUAAAGUUUAAAAAGUUGUUCAAGUUAUUUCUCUUAGUUUUCGCAGCAUAAAUUUUAAUUCAUAUAGGGUUGUUAAAAGUUGUAGUUAGGGUCAAUUGAUGUUGUUCAGAAGAAUAAUGACAUCGGUUGGCUUCACGCCGCUUCUUGGGUCGAGCAAGCAGGUGCUCGAGGUGGGGUGUGACAACUAAUGGAUCCUAACUAUCAUAGGGAUACUACCUAAGUGCAUGUACACACAAUGCAACAGUUACUAGCAAGCACAACAAUUAUUUAAUUUCAUGGUUGUAGCUAAAUCGCAUCCUAUUCCCUUGACUUUGAAGUUUUGGUCGUAUUGCAGUUUAUGGUGUGACAUUUCCAGUUUUGACGUCACAUUGGCCACGUCGAAGAAAAGAGAAAUAAAUAUUUAAUUCUUUGCAUUUUCCCCGACGUGAAGCACACACACAUUGAGAAUGUGUUCCCCAUUUCUGAUGCCAACGUUGACCACAUCGAGAAAAGGAAAAAACUAAAUAAUUAAUUUCUUUUCUUUGAUGCCAUGCAGGCAACGUUGGGGAGGUGAUAUCUAUUCCUGAAGUUAGCCAACUAAGUGUUAAUCACUUAAUUGAAGAACAAAGAAUAAGGUCGGAGUUGCCAGAUAAGCAAAUGGAAGAAAGUGUCCGAAAAAUGGAAAAAAAUGCAAGACAAAUGGAAGAGAUGAGGAAAAUGAUUGUGGAAAUGCGUUAGGCACAAAGAGGACCGUGAACACUUAGGACACGUAUUUUCAACUUUUAAUUUGUUUAAUUAUUCGUCGGUGAUAUGUAUCUAACUUUAGUUUUAUGUCAUUUGUAGGUUAGUUUGUUUUCCUUUACAUGUAAUUGUUUUGACUAAUUUAAACAACUUAUAAUUUUUGUUAUACAAUUGAAUUUAGUAUUAAUUUCAUGAAUUGCAAAUUUUUAUUUUAAUAAUUUGUUUCAAAAUUUUGUUGGUUGACUUUCGAAUCGAAACCCAAAACAAUACCUCCCAAUAACAAAAAUAAAUAAAUAAAUAAAUAAAUAAAUAAAAGAAUAUAAAAAUUAUCUCCUGACGUUACUUAUACGUCAAGAAUAAUAGCUUCCCCGAUGUCGUUGAAUAUGCGUCAGAGAAAACUUCUCUCGACGCCACGUUGGGAGAAAUGUAUGCCCAACGCAUGGAGGAGACAUCGGGUGUACGCCAUUGCCAACAUCAGACACCCAUUGGCAUUGACGGCGUCGGGGAUACGACAUUCCCGACAGUGUCAAGUUCGCACGUCAGAAAUUGCUCCACCGAUGUAGUAUGCCCGACGUUCUUCCCGACGAAGCAUCUGACAUCGAGAGAAGUUGUCCCGACCCAUUUUAGUACAAAUGCUAAUGCUUUAUGGCGUCAGGAAUUCUCCAAAUCCUUGAAGUGUAGGUUCAUGCCCAUGUUAUAUUUAUCAUGACUCUUCAUGUCCAUUUUCAUGUACAAUGGUGUAUCUUUAGACCACCACACAUGGAUACAAAUGAUAAAUUAACAAGUUAGACAACCAAACUAAGAUUAAUUGAUAUAUGCAUGUUCCACUGGCAUAAUUUCUUUUACUAGACAUAAAUGUAUACCUUGUUUGGGUAGUAGGGUUAUUGAAUAUUUUUAUACUCAUCCUUUCUCAUGUCAUGUUUUCAGAUAAAGACAAAAGGUGUACCAAGUGCAUGAUUAGGAGACCUUUUGAAUGUGCCAUAUGGGAAUAGUGUUAAGACUUUCGCUCAUUCCCAAAUCUUUUAAAGAUAAUUUGAACACGUUUUCAAUUAGAUCAACUGAGAUUAGAAAUUUGAAAUGUAAGUGUUGAAUUUUAUUUAAAUAUAUCAAUAACUACAAACAUUUGAUUCCAAACUUAUGCGUCAAACAUCCCGAGAAUUGGAAUAAGCUCGAUUUAGAAUUAUUAGGUUUGAAAAUAAUAUCUGUGGGAUUGUGGUUGUAGAAUAAUGAUUAUGUGUUUGGUAGAUGAAUAUAAAAUCAUUUUAUUUUAGAUAUAACAAUCUAAAAAAUAGAUUUUGUUUUUUGAAAUGACUUUUUAAAGCGAUUAAGCAAACGUAAGCUAAAUGUAUGUGACCAAAUUUGUAAAUUUAACCAAAUAUUAAAAAGGAAAAGAAAAAUCAACUCUUAGAGUGGAGAAUGUGUAAACAAAGUCAUCUCAACAUACUCCUACUCCUCUAAAACGCCAAAUUUGUGAUUGAAAUUUGAUUCAACUUAGUAUUUUGCUUGAAAAUUCAUACAACCACUGAUUCUUCAAUGCAGCAUUUUGGUUCAGCACCUAGAUUUCAAAUUCCCAAGAACAUUCAACUUUCGCUCCAUAGCAUUAACAAAUCCAUCUUCCCAUUCUGGGGUUUCUGAACUCAACUGACUUGAAGCCUGCUCAGCUGUUGCACAAAUGGCGUGGAAUCUCAUCUUUUGGUUCAUCUCUUUCUGUUUUAACAUCGCCCUCCUCGUCCUCAACUUUUACCAGGUACAUCCUUUCUAAUCUCUCAUCAACCCUAGUUUUGGAGAACAAACUUCUUCAUAAUUGGUUAAGUUUGAAUCCGUCUGCUAAAACGUAUCCCGAAUCUUCUUCUUCUUCUUCUUGCAAUCCUGUUUUGCUUAUUCAAUAAGGAGUGGAGGUUUGAUGCUUAUUCAAUAAGGAGUAGAGGUUUGAUGUGUAUCUCAGAUUCGUUUUGCUGCGCCAGACUAUUUCGACCUCAGUUUGAUUUACGGCUAGAUGUGACCUAGAUUUUUAUUGGUGGAGUCUUUACACUGUCGUUGACCUAUUUUUGAAAUUGAUUCUAUGCCUUCUUACUAUUUCACGCUCUUGAAUUCUUCACCAAGCAGUAGAAUAGUCAAUUUUACGGUGAUGGAUUUGAUAUUUUUUUUUUAUCUAUCGUGCACUGUUAGAAAAGAAAAACGUAUUCUCAUAAUUGUGCACUGUUGGCUAUUGGAAAUGCCCCCAUUUCGUUUACUAUGUUCAUGUACAUUGGCAGAAAGUGAGAGGUGGCUGCUCUAAUUUUCUCAUGAACUAAGAUGAUUGCUAUAGAGAUUGUCUAGGUACAAUUUUGCUCCCCAGUUGGAGGCAUCUAACGGUCGUGGUUGAUCUUUUUGUAGCUUUUGGUACUAACGGAUUUGGAGGCAGAUUAUUUGAACAUCUAUGAUUCAUCAUCUCGCAUUAAUAAACUUGUCAUUCCGGAGUUUUUAGUGCAAGGAGUAUUUUGCUCUCUUUUCCUCUUCACAGGUCAUUGGUUCAUGUUUCUUAUAACCGUCCCUGUUACCUGCUAUCACAUAAAUUUGUAAGUAUUUCUUGAAUUGAUAUGAGGCAUGGUUUAAUUUUCCUUUUACUCUGUGUUAUGGAUGUGUUAUAUUGGUGGUGUUUCUUUGUUAUGAAUACUAAAGUGUUAUGGAUGUCAAUUUGAGCAUAUCUCAAUUGGUUAAGACAUAUACACUCGACUAUGAGGUUAGAGAUUUAAAUCAAAAUUACCCAUCUCAUGUUGUUGAACUCUCGUGUUAUGGAUGAGGCUUAUGAUUUUAUUUACUAGUAAAAUGAAUUAAAAAAUUAUAUAUACUUCUUACUGUUUUAAUAUGUUUUGGUUUGUUUUUAAGGUGAAUAUUCUUUAAGAUGCAAACAUUUAGUGAAACUACUAUGAAGAAUUCGGAGCAUUGAAUACUUCCCUCUCAAGUUGAGAUGGCCAUUUCUAAAAUGAGUGAACGAUACCUGUAGUUGUCAAAUUACUGGAUGCCCUUUAAGGUUAUGGUAACAGUUGCUCUCAACGUUGGAUAUGUUCUGGGUAAUUUGGUGUAUUUAGGAGUUUUCUGGUGCAUUUGGGCAGUACGAUUAGCAGGGUUGGGGCGGGGACUGCAGGGUUAUAAUUUUAGAUAUUCAAUGAUGAGCAUUUCUGAGGACACCGUUAGCUCAUAAGCUGAGAUUUACAUGAAUUUUCAAUUUUAACUGGUCUGUUCAACUCAUUCUGGCUUGUUUUUUUUUAAUAUAUGAUCAUUUUCCCCCUUUAUUUGGAUGAUUCCAUGCUUUUUAAUAUCAAAAAAUGAGGAAAGCAGUUAGUUAGAUCCCCAAGCAAAUGACUUUUGUGGAAUACGCUUUAUUGUAGUUGCCUCCAUAUAAUACCUUGUUUUGAAGUUAUUCAUUGAGUUUUAAAUUUCAAAUUUUGUAUUUUGUUUUGAACUAAUAAAGUUGAGUAUCUUGCAACUUGGCCGGUACCACUACCUCUUUGAUAGUAAGAAUGAAGCAAAGCGUGUCAGAAAUGUCCUUACUUGAGCACCUAGAAUCUAGAAACCCAAAAGUGAUUAGGCUAAAAGAUAUUCAACUUGAUUGAGACGGAUAACCAUUCGAACAGAUCUCUGUUAUGGUAAUUCCUUCUGAAAUUGAGCUUUUAUUCACCUAAAUCUUCAUUCACAUAAAUGAUUUUGACUUCUUAGCAAAGGAAAAUGUAUUUGAAUUAUUGAAAGUAGAGACAAAGGACACAAAUUUACUUGGAAAAAACCCGAGUACUGGAAGAAAAACCACGAUAUUUUGUUCUUAUUAUUUUCUUAUAUUAGAAAAGGUGCAAAAGGGGGAAUAUUUAUAUAGGCAACACAAGCCUAAUUAAAAGAAUAAAACAUUAGGUUAAACUUUAAAGUAAAUCUUAACUACCCAAGGGCUUUCAUCAAGGCCAAAGCCCACUAUUUCUAACACUCCCCCUGAAGUUGGGACGUAGAUAUCACUGAGACCCAACUUGCUAACACAAAAGUCAAAGUUCUAUAUGAGAAGUCUCUUGGCGAGGACAUCAGCAACCUGAUGACUUGAAGUAAUGUACGAACUACAUAUGCUACCAUUGUCCGGCCUUUCUAUGAUCAAUCUCAACACGUUUAGUUUUAUCAUGUGGAACUUGAUUGUUGGUGAUGCUAAUGGCUGCCUUGUUAUCACAAAAUAAUUUCAUUGGUAUCUCACAAUUCUGAUGAAGAUCAGGCAAAACUUUUUGGAGCCAAAUUUCCUACCAUAUUCCUAAACUCAGCCUCAGGCUUCUAGCCAUGACCCUUCCUUUUUACUCCUCCAAGUUACAAGAUUGCACAUACAAAGGUAUAAUAACCAUAGGUAGAUUUCCUGUCAACAAUAGACCCCAACCAGUAUGAAUCAGUAUAAGUCUCAAUAGUUUUCCUGUCCAUCUUUCUGAACAUCAAUCCUUUACUAGGAGUCAUUUUUAAGUAUCUUAGUAUUUUAUUUACUGCCUCCAUGUGUUCCUCAUAAGGAGUCUGCAUGAACUAGCUCAUAGCACUCAUAGCAAAGGAAUAUUUGGUCAAGUAUGGGACAAGUAAAUCAACUUACACACUGGACGUUGAUAUUGCUCUUUAUCAACUGAAACUUUAUCAUCUGAAUUUUCCAGUUGACACCCUAGCAUACUUAUCUCGGUCAGUAAAUCAAAGGUAUACUUCCUCUGAGAUAUGAAGAUACUUUCUUUAGAUUUGGCUACCUCUAUUCCACAGAAAUAUUUCAGAUUUUUCAAGUCUUUGAUUUUGAACUCAUCAGCCACCUUCUUUUUCAAUUAGAUGAUUUUAGCGUGGUCGUCUUCAGAUAGAACGAUGUCAUCAACAUAAACAAUCAAUACUAUAAUCUUCUCAGCCUUGGAGACCAUUGUAAUUAAAGUAUGGUCAGAGUGCCCCUAUCUAUACCUAAGGGACUUGACAGAGGUAGCAAAUCUAUAAAACCAUGCUCUAGUUGACUGUUUCAGAUCAUAUAACGAUUUUUGAAAUUUACACACCUGAUGAUUGAAGUGAGCUUCAAACACUGAGGGAGGGCUUAGACUUACUCCUCUAGGUCCCUAUUCAAGAAUGCAUUCUUAACAUCCAAAUGAUAAAGAGGUCAGUCUUUGUUCACAACAAUAGAUAGCAGAACUUUAACAGUAUUUAGUUUAACAACUAGAAAAAAAGUUUCUGAAUAAUCAACACCAUAGGUUUGAGUAAAUCCUUUUGCAACUAACCUCGCCUUGUGUUUGUCAAUGGUUCUAUCUGCCUUGUAUUUUAGAAUGAACACCCAUUUGCAUCCCACAGUUUUACGUCCCUUGGAUGCAGAUUUCCUAAGUCUUGUUCUUCUCAAGGGGCCUCAUCUCUGCAUGACAACAUUUUUACACUCAGGACAUUCUAAAACAAUGUGGAUAUUUCUUGGUAUCAUGGUAGAGACAAGGCUGGCUGUGAAGGCUCUGAACUGAGGAGAUAGGUUCUCAUAAAAAACAUAAUUAGCAAUAGAAUGAUUAGUAUAGGACCUGGUACCUUUCCUUAGUGCAAUAGGUAGAUCAAGAGACGAAUCAUACUUACUGAUAUUUUUUGAACAAUCCUCUCUAAUUUUAUUUUUAGUGACUCUUGCACUGACCCCAUUUUCAUCAUUACUGCCUUUUCCAUCUAGGAUGACCUUAGUAUCAUCAUUACCCUAUUCACCUAUAUUUUCACGAAUAGUUGUCUCGGAUCUCACUUUCACUCAUUUUACUGACAAUGUGUGAGUCGAUAGAAACAGUCAUACCUUGAUCUUGUAAAGGUUCAGAAUCUUGGACUAGGGCUGGCUAAUUAGCACGAGGCCCAACUUCCUUUCUAAGAUUCCUCCCAUAGUAGGUUUUUCAAGGAACUUGGUUCGUAGGUAGGAGUGUGUAGUGAGGAUCUGGGCUUGGUGUGGUAAUAAGAGUAGGAUUGGUAGACUCUAAGGAUAUCAACCAGUUAGAGUUAGACUCUUCACUCUAACUCUGCCGCUGAAGAAGGCUAACGAGAAAGAAAAGAUGAUCUUCAAGAAAGGUAAUGUCCAUGGAGACAAAGUACUUACGAGAAGACGGAUGAAAGCAUUUAUAGUCUUGUUGAUGCUGAGGGUAACCAACGAAAACACAUGCCUGAGCCUGCGGAGUAAACUUAGAUGGGUUAGGGCCAUGGUUAUGAACAUAGGCAGUGCACCUAAAAAAUGGGGCGGGUAGAGGGAUAUGACUCUUUAAGACAGUCUAAGGGUGUCUGGAGAUGUAGGACACGAGAAGACAUUCGGUUGAUAAGAUGGGCUGCAGUGAGAACAAUAUCACCCUUGAGAUAGGAAGGAAAGUAGACAACAUAAGAGAAUGGGCGACUUCUAAAAGGUGACGGUGGGGGUGACACGAACUUUGGUGGACAAUGCCUUUGGAGGACCAAAACUCAUUGAGGGUGUGGUUUUGGAACUCACGACCGUUCUCACUUCCCAAAAUUGCAAUCUUUGUAUUGAACUGCAUUUCUACAGUGUUAUAAAAGUCCCUAAAGAUAGAGGUGACCUCAGAUUUGUCAGAGGCGAGAAAGACCCAGGUAAAAUGGGUAUGGUCAUCAAUAAAGGUUAUGAACCACUAUUUCCCAAAUGAGGUAGUUAUCUUGGAUGGUCCCCAGACAUCACUAUGAACAAGAGUGAAAGGGUGGGUUGGUUUGUAUGAUUGUGAAGGAAAAAAAACUCGAUGUUGUUUAUAGCCCGAAUACAUACAUCACAAGAUAAAGUAGACAUAUCAAUUUUAGAGAAAAGAUGAGGAAAUAAAUGUUUCAUAUAUUGAAAAUUAGGGUGGCCAAAACGAAAAUGCCACAACAUACAAUCUUGUUCAGAAGUAGUAAAAUAGUAAGAUAAAAGACUAGUCCUAGAAAUGCUACUAGAAGAGAUGUCGUCAUCAAGGUACUUCUCAGACAGAACUUUGACUUUUGUGUUAGCAAGUUGAGUCUCAUUGAUAUCUACGUCCCAACUUGAGUACAGAAGCAGCGUUGAUCUCCUCCUUGAUGACGACCAUGAAGUUGGGUCCUACCUCCUUGAUGACGACCAUGUAACUUCCAACACUGUUCUUUGGUAUGCCUUUAUUUUUGCAAUGCUCACACGCAGGAAUUGGUUUUUCAUUGUGCUUGUCACUGCCGCUGGUAGAGGACCUUGAACUAAAAGCAGCGGAGUCAAUAGUAGGUGUUGUCGAAAUACUCAUAGCACUUGUGCGAUCCUCCUCGCGGAGGAUUUCAAAACAGGCUUCCAUCAGGGGAAAGAAUCGGUCUCUUGCUAGUAUACGCCCUCAAACUAUAUCAAACUUAAGAUUAAGACCAGCAAGAAAGUUAUAAAUCCUGUCAAUCUCUUCAAUUCUAGAGUAUUGCAAACCAUCACUGGGAUUGCUCCAGACUAGUUCUCUGCAUAAGUCUGUUUCCUGCUAGAUAAGAGAAAAUUUAUUAAAAAGGGAUGUGACAUCCAUGGUUCCUUGCUUGCAUUCAUAAAUCUGUUUCCUUAGUGUGUAUAGGCGAGAAGCAUUUUGACGUUUGGAGUAGAGUGUCUGGGUCGUGUCCAAAUAUAUUUGGCUGUUGCAGCAUAUAGUAAUGGCUUGCCAAUCUGGGGUUCCAUAUUGUUGACCAACAUGGAUCGAAGAAGAGAGCCCUCUCCCUUCCAGUAUUAUUCCUGUGGGUUGCCUAGUGGAGGACAAGGUAUUUCCCCUGUCAGAAAGCCAAAUUUAUGUUGUCCUUCAAGAACCAUUUUCACUGACUGAGACCAUGAGAAAUAGUUAUUGUCAUUUAACUUUUUCCUUGAAAGAUCCUGUAGACUAUGCCACUGUAUUAGUUGCAUAAAAAGAGGAUAAAGUAGGAAACGAGGUUACUGGAUUCUCUGAUACAUCGGUAUGGGAGUUUUGGAAUGUGCCGAAGAUUCACCAACCUCAAAUGUUGAGUGAGUUUGAGGAUUCUUAACAUCGGGAUGAUAUUUAAGGGCAAUGGGUGGUAGGGCAUACAGAUUUGUCAACAGAAGUCGUGGUGGUCGGUUGGAAUUAGGUGUAUAGGGCGUGGGGAGCAACAUAGGUGGCGGAUGAAGGAGAGGAUUGCACACAAGGGAUGGCUGAGGAGGAUGGACUAGUGCGUGUUUCUCCGACAGCAGUGCGUGGGUGGCGCAUGAGAUAUGUUUAGCGGCAUGGACGACGACAGAAUCGUUGGGAUAACAUUUUCCGACGUUGUUUGAAGGUGGUGGAACCAUUCGUCUAUGGUAGCAUUGAGAUCCGAGCAUCGACGACAGCAUUAAAACCAACGGUUGUGUCUUUUGUUUGAUUUCCAUCACUAGUUAUGUUGUCUAGGGUUUGUUCAAUGUCCCGCUCUAAUAUCAUAUUGAAAGUAGAGGCAAAGAACAUAGAUAUAUGGAGAAACCCGAGUACCGGAAUAAAAACCACGAUAUUUUGUUCUUAUUUUCUUAGAUUCAGAAAGGCACAAAAGGGGGAAUAUUUAAUGGCAAUAAGAGCCUAAUUAAAAGAAUAAACAAUUAGGAUAAAGUAAAUCUUAAUUACCCAUUACCUUUCAUCAAGGUCCAAGUCCACUGUUUCUAACAUGAAUAGAAGGGCAUAGAGGGCCUACAGAAACAUCAACCAAAAUUCCCCCUAAAAUUUGAUGGUGGAGUCAUUAGUGAUUAAAUAUGGAAAGGUCAUGGAUCAAGAAAGAGGCAUUGUUAGCAUACCUCCUAACAAGAACACUCAAGAAAUACAAAUAACACUAAAGAUAGUAAUACAUUACAAUAUCAAUAAAGAAAAUACAAUGUACCACAACCUUCCGAGAGGCUAGUCUUUGCCAAAUUCCCUAAAGGGGGAAUCCCACAAAAAAUUCUUCAUACCUUUUUUCCCAACUCCACCCCUCUAUUUAUAACUAAAGUCUUAACUAAUUUACUAGCUAUUUACUAAUAUGCCCCCUCUAAUAACCAUACUAAUAUUCCUUAUUAGGGGUUUUACAUGCAUACAACCUUCAUUAGGAAUCCAAUGAUCUUUGCUUUAGGAUGCUCUUUUUUUUUAUCACUCAAACUCUUACACUUGGUGAUAGGUCAUGAACCUUUGGAGCUGCUACGAUAACAAUGUGUUGUAAACCAUCGUGAAGGACCCUUGUCAUAUAUACUAGAAAUGACCUUGUUCAAAUUGACUUAGCGGAUAAUGUUCUCAUUUCUCUUCGCAAUAUUACUAAUGUAUACUCCACCAGAGGAAGGGACCCAGUACCCAGCAUGUCAAUCCACAUGAUGGCCAGUAGCCCACCUCUUCUCUAUGCAUCCCGUGCCAUAGGCUUAUUAUUGAUCUUCAAAUAUUUCCCGAUCAUAAAAGUCUUUAUACAGUGUUGUCGGAAUGAGUUGAUGAGUUGAGUAUUUAACUUUUUCAUCAAUAUAAAAUGAAGAGACAGGGCAUGAACUAUUCUUAUAAGUGAAGUGUGUAGAAAAGCAAGUUGAUGUUGGAAGACUAAGUACCGAUGUAUAACUAAAGUAGGCUGGUGAUUUUCAUAGAAUAGUGAUUUUCAACCAUGAUGUACGAAGAAGAAGAAUAAAAGAAUGUUGGAAAUUGAUAAUCAACCAAGUAUUGCACUCUUGGAGGUUGUGUCAAGCACAAGGGAAAAUUCUGUUGCACCCUAUUAUUGCUCUGUUUAUUCUUGGCUUGCCAACUUGUCUGAAUCUUGCAUCCUUUAAAUAAGUGUAAUUCAUUUUGUGUGAUGGAUAUAUCCUACUGCUGACCUUUUUUAAGAAUAAAACUCAGAUUGUUAAAUGAAAGAUAACCUAUUGUAUGAACCUUGGAUCCUACAAAUAUGUCUGUAUUAGAUUCUCAGUUCUGGAUAGACAUCUACUGCUCACAUUUUUCAAGAAUAAAAAUAAAAUUUUCUAACAAUAGUUUCAAUUGCACUAAUUGGACUGAGAAGUGAGAACUUCUUUCAAGUAUUUCUCCGUUUUAUUUUUUUUUCUUGGUGUGUUUAUGACAUGUAUUAUUCGGUUACAAUGUCUCAGAUUUUUGAAGAGGGAGCACCUUAUUGAUGUCACCGAGGUAUUUAGAGCUCUUAAGCGUGAGAAGUAUUUCCGUUUGGCCAAGCUUAUCUUCUACUUGCUUCUUUUCCUCGUAGUAAUUUUCAGGUCAGUUUGCAUUUUUCAUUUUCUCAUUCCUCUCAGCUAUUUCGAAGUUGGUAUUUUCCUGAUUGAAGUUUUCUUUAUUAUUUUCUGUAUAGAAUAAUAGUGGUUGCGGGAAUGAAAUCUGUUUUUGACUCUGCACCUGAAGAUUUAGACAUUCGCUCCUCUGUUCUCGAAUUCUAGAGUUUUUUACUUAACCAUUUAUCAUUCCUUUUGAAAUAUAUAUACGACUACAUUUGACAUUAUCUUCUUUUUUAUUCAUUGCAAAGUUCUUAAAGAUGACGUUGCUCUAAUUUUGAGCUUGUUAUGUUGGUUUGGGAACCUAUACACCAUAUUUCUCUCUAUUGCCUUGGUGCUAAGUAUGUUGUUACAGUAAUGCAUUACUCCAGGAUCUUGCACUUUGUUCUGUUUGCAAUUCGUGCUUCUUUGUAGCUUUUGCUGGUCCAGUAUGUGAUAUAACUUAAUUUAGGAUGUUUAUAGCUUUUCAAAUUUUAAAGAGAUGUUGCAUUUUGUUAUUUUAUGGAGGACUCCCAUGCUUCUCAACAUCCCGAUACAUAUGCACACGUAUACACAUGUAUUGUUCAUCCAUGAUGUAUCGAGGUUUCAUUUCGUCCUACCAAUAAAGAUAAAGCACGAACAUUGAUGUUGUUCAUUUGGAACUUCACCAUCUUACUAGCAUUCUUACCUGUAUUCAAUUAACAUGUAAUGCAGGCUUACUUUGUCUGCAUUCAACUCCUUAUCUGACGAAGACGAUGUCCUACAUUUAUUUUGAUUGCCAUUUUGAUAUCCGAAGUUUGUAUUACGGGUUCUAUCGUGCAUCGGGUUGAUAUUUAUGUGGGAAUUACACGAAGGGAAUGAAUUUGGACUCAGCAACUUCAAACACAUUCAAACAGGUUUUCUCGAUUCCCAUUCUAUAGUUUGGUAGGCUUCAGUAGCAAUCUCAUUGACUUACACCUAAGGAAUUCUUGUAUGUAGAAGAUAGCAUUGUAGGCAUAUUAUGUGAUUUGAUUUGUUUUGGUACCUUCCUUAACUCACUGCUAAGUUGAGGGACCUUCAAGAUUAGGGUUUCAUAUUUUAUCAUUUUUGGAAUAUCAACUCGUUUCAAGUUUUAGUGUUCUUGUAAAAGGAUUGAAAUGAUUUUCAUCAUUCAAUGCCUAACAAAUGUAUUAAGUGUUGUUCUCUUCAAAGGAUACAUUUUUACUAACAUUGUAAACUAUUUUUAGGGCUUGUUUAAAAGUGAAUUCUAAUUUAAACAAUAGUUAAAGACGGGGUUGAUAUAAUAUAUUUAUAAACCAUAAAAUUAAUGGGGUGUUUUAAAAAAAAAUUGUGACUUUGAAGGAGUAAUAAUAUAGAAAAUAUUUGGAGUAAUGAGAAAUGGUGAGAUCUAAUUAAAUAUGGGUAAUUGUAAUUAAUGGGUAUUUGUAGAAUAAUAAUUAAGGAUAUAAUAAUAUUUUUAAAAAGUUACAAAUACAACGAAACUAUCAUUGAUAGACUUGUAUGAUCUAUUAGUGAUAGACCAAUAUUUACAAUAUAGUCUAUCAAUCAUUGAUAGAAUUUGGCAAAUUUUGUUAUAUUCGUAAUUUUUUAAAAAUAUUGCUAUAUAUUUAAUUAUUUUGAAUUUAAUUGCUAAAUUUGCAAUUAUUCCAUUAAAUACAUGCCAGUAGCUACCAAAUUGUAAUCUAAUCGUAUUCCACCUCAUCUUAUGAACUAGCUUCAACCUCAAUUCAAUUUUGACCUUCAACGUCCAUACAAGUGCUCCAACUAAUUCGAUCUAUGUAUCUAUGCCUAAUUACAAUUUGGACUAAUUCAUGCAAACUUUUAAGUCCUAUUGUGUCUUAGUAUAUGAUCAUGUCACAUCAUUAGCCUCAUAUUCCAUUCACAAAUUCGUGUUAUUACCUCAAUAAUCUUACCAUCAACUCUCAACUAUCAUAUGUUUACUCAAAAAGGUAAAGCUUAAACUCAACAAAAGAAAUAGUAUAGUGUAAAAGAAGUGGCUCCAUGCAAAUACAAUUUAAUAAUUUAUCAACCUAACUCAUCCUUUCAGGCUAUCCAUCCUAAUCAAUCUCUUACAAUUUUUUUAGCUUAUGAUUAAGAGAAUAACCAAUUUAUUCAUUAAAAAAUUGUCAUAGGUAGCCAAAGAAAAUUAUUCAAGUAUUUGCAAAUCUAGGAGUUCUUUUUAAUUGCAAAAAGAUAGCAAAAAUUUUGAAUUCAAUUUAGGUUCUUUUUAUUAUUUUCAAUUUUAUCCUCGUUUGUAUAUCAAUAGAUAUAUAUGGUAUAUAUUGUAUAAGGUAAAGCUCGUGUUGUCUAUAAAUAUUGUCAAUACCUCGAUGACCCUCCUAGAAUCUCAAAUUAAGUAUAAAUCUAUAGUAUAUAUUACAAUUGGUCAAACUUGAACUUUGUACACAAGUUGCUAAUAUAAAUGUUUAAGGAUGAAACAAAGUUGUUAAUUUCGUUCUUAUAUGUUUGCUAACGUUGUGGAUAUAGUUGUAAUUGUUGUUGAUAUUAUGUAUAUAUUGUGAACAUAGUUAUGAUUUUUGUUGAUUUUUUUCUCCAUCCAUAUUCGUAAUGACUUCUAAAUUUUCUUUUAAAUUUUUUUAUUUUCAAUUAUUUAAAAGUGAGAAAGUUGGAAAUAUGUUUUCUAUUUCUCUCCCAAUCCAAAGUUUCUUUCACUCUCCUAUCUCAUCAAUCAAUUUAUUUUUUUCACAUAUUAACAUUGUUGUCAUUUUUAUCUCUCAAUCUAACCAAAUAUAAAUAUAAUUUAAUAUUAAUUAAGAUGGUAUAUAAAAGAUUGCUUAUUUUUUAUUUGUAAAACUAUUAAAACUCUAUAUUUGGUUAACAUUAAUUCCACCAUAGGUUAUAAGUUAAAAUGAAAAUUUAGAACUAAUUUAUAAACCAUUAAAACAUAUAGUUAAAUAAUACUACAUUCUUACAUAAAUUUUGUAAAUAAAAUUUGUUAAUUCAUCUCAUUCCUUUCGCCAAGAAUGUGAACCAUUCUCACACAUAUUCUACUGUGAUGACCGCAUCAUCAUCAACAUUCCUUGGAGAUUUUUCUGAUUCGUUUUUCGUUGCUCCGAUUGUUAACACAAACACAUUGGUUAACUUCUCACCGCCAUGUUUUCGCAAACUUCAUUGUUGUCUUGACUCAUUAUGUGGACAUAAGAGCUAGCUCAUUGAUAGAAAUAAAGUUAAUGGUUUACUCGUGAACAUAACAUACAAUCAUCAAACAUGAAAACUUUAGCUUUAGGAACAUUAUGUAUAAGCAAACUGUUUAAUAAACAUCAAGAACAUUACAACAUGCGUUAAGCACUCAUAACAACGUAAGACUCAAAAAGAAUGUUUUCAAGACACCAUUUUUUCUUUUAGAAAAAUCAAUCACAAACUAAUUUUCUUCUUUAGAAUGCCUAAUCCUAGUCUCCUCCUUCUUGCCUAACACUUCUUCAGCAGACAACACUUAGAAAUUUCCUUAAUACAAUCACAGUAACAUCCUUUUCUUCAGACCUUUCAAUCCUAUUUAUACUAGCCUAAGUUGGAUUAGUCACUCAUUAAGCUCCCUUAGCUCGCCAGCUCCUACUUAACACUUUACACGUGUAGGCUUAACAUUUCUUUUAGCCAUGCUUAAACUUAAUCUUCACACAUAGCACACUAAUUAACCACAAUUAGGAAAUUUUCCUAAAUCUCAAUGCCUAUCUUCAUCUUGCAUUAUAACAUCAAAACGCCUACUUUCUCUUGAAUUCAACUUCAAAAUCAUUCCCAUUUCAGACUUGAGUCUCACAACUCUCCACUUCUUUAAGAAUUUCGUCCUCAAAACUCUAUCUCCACAAUCAUCUUUCUUUAUCUAACAUAAGACCUCCUCACACAGGUUUAUGAAUAGAGUGAGAAGCCACUCCCAAAUGUGUUUGCUCCUCGUCUAAUCUUAGUUUUCUCUUUGCGCUCCUUUUGAUAAUGUCAAACUUUUCCACACUUAAAAUAUUGCCUACAAGUCCUGGUGUGUCUUUUGCUUUAUUUCGUUCAUUUUGAUUUUCGAUUAUCAUUCCAACAUGGUCUUUGGAUAAAACUGGUCUUAGCGCACUUACUAUACCCUUCAAUACUUUUCCUUUCUUUUUUUUCCCACUAAGCAUAGAAUUUGAUCUUUUUCCUCCUAGACUCUUCUCAAUCAGAGAGUUUCAUCCACCAACUCCUCAUAACCAUUGUGCAUAGCUAUGACUGUGACCAGUGUUCUUGUUUUAGGUAUGUAUCCAGUUUCAAAUUGUCUACAUCCACCAACAACAUCGCAUACUUGGAUAAUUCUUUAAACUUCUUCUCGUACUCUAUGACUGUGAGUUCACUUUGUUCUAAAUUUUGAAAUUCAUCUCGCCUUUCUUUUUUGUAGGUCUUUAAGAAAUACUUUCCGUUGAAAAUUUCUUUGAAUUCUUCCAAGCUAACACUUCCUCGCAUAUUCUCUUCUAACAUCCACCAGUCUUUAGGUCCUUCUUGGAGUAAGAACACUUCUGAAUCUACCGUUCUUUCUUUUGAAGACUACUAAAUCUACUUUUUCUUUCUCCUCUAACAUCCACUAGUCUUCUGCUUGAUGUAUAAAAUUAGAUUCGAACUCAGUGGAUAGUGUUCUAUGUGCUUAUAUCUAAGUUUAUGUGGCAAUGCAUGGUCAUUGCAUGCAAGAUGCUCACUAUGUCUCAUCCUCACGCAAUUACUAAGUCCUCAUUGAGUACAAGUUUACCUAUUGCUUAUGUAUCACUGAAAUAGUUCUUCUAUUAACACUUGAUCUACAAUAAAGAUAAUCAGUAACGGUCCAACAAUAAGUGUCUUUAUCAAAGACAAUGUCUUGUUUAACAUAAUUAAUUUGUGUAUAUACUAAUCAUAAGAACAGAAAUCAUGAGAUAAAAUCAUAAACAAUAAACAAAUAAUCUCAAAGUGUCAAAUAACACAAUCUUAAUUUCAGUAAUGAUAUUUAUUAAUAUCCAUAUCUUUAACAUGAACAUUGAAUGCCUUUGGUGGUAAUCCUUGAGUUAGUAGAUCUACAAUCAUAAGUUUAGUGCUAAUGUGAUUGACACUUUUUGUUUCUAAACUUCUUCUUUAACAACAAAGUAUUUUAAUUCCAUAAGUUUAGUACCUUUGGAAUACUUGUUUUUUUAAAGAAGAAAACUACUACAGAAUUAUCAUAAUAAAUAAACUACCACAAAAUUAUCAUAAUAAAUGCUCAAUGACUUGGCAAUACUGUCGACAAUUCCAAGUCUUGAAAUAAGUUUUGCAACCAUAAAACAUAAAUUAUAGCCUCAAAGGAUGCUACAAAUUCAACCUCCACAGUGGAUGCAGCAACAAUACACUGAUUCUCGCAUUUUCAUGAGGUUGCUCCUUUAGCUAAUAGGAACAAAUAGCCAAAAGUAAAUUUUCGUGUAUCUACACGUUCGGUAAAUUUGAAUAUGAAUAUCCAAUCACCUCAAGAUGAUUAGAUCUCUUGUAAGUAAGCAUAUAGAACAAGGAUUAUAAUUAAACUUACUCCAAUUGAUCCUUAGGUAUAUACAUUAAUCAACGAUGUUUUCUUUAAAGCCAAAAGAUGUGAUGGUAUCAUUGCACUUAAGAUACCAUUGUCUAGAAGCUUGUUUAAGUCCAUAUAUUAACCUCUUUAAUUUACACAUCAUAUAUUCCUUUCCUUCAAACAUAAAACCUUCUAGUUGAUCCAUGGACGUUUCUUCAUCUAAAAUUCCAUUUAGAAAGGCAGUUUUCAUAUUCAUUUGAUGAAACCCUAAAUUAUUAUGAGCUACUAAAGUCAUAAUAAUUACUAAUGAGUCCUUUUUUCAAGAUAUGAGAAAAGGUCUCUUUGUUGUCAAUGUGAUAUUUCGAGUAUAACCUUUGGCAACAAACCUAUCCUUGUGUUGUUCGAUAUUGCCAUUUGAGUUAAGUUUGGUCUUAAAGACCUAUUUACACCUAACUCUUUUACUUUCCUUAGGCAAUUCUACCAAAUCCAAGACUUCAUUAUCAUUCAUAGAUUUGAACUCUUCUUUCAUGACAUCUAACCAUUUGGAAGAAUAAUUACCUUCUUUAUUGGCUUGUGAAAACGAAAUCGGAUCAUUAUCAACACUUAAAUCAAAUUCUGACUCAUGCAAAUAAACCGCAGUCAUAAAAAAUAUGUGAUCUUCUUGGUCUUACAGAUCUUCUUAACUCUAUUUCUUGUGGUCCCUCAUUUAUAGGUUCAUUUGUUAUAACAUCAUUAUGUGGUGUUUGACCAUUAAUUUGUUCUUCUUAUGGAUUGUUAACGGAGCCUACAACUACAAGACACAACAACUUUGAGAAGAAGUUAUAGAUGAAAGAAUUUUCACCCUAACUUCUUGAAUUUUCACUUUACGUGGUUUCAAACUCCCACUAAUUACGCCAUUCUUAAUUAACCUUACAUUUCCAGUUUCAACCAUUCACAUACUAUGGUUAGGACAAUAAAAUCUAUACCCUUUUGAUUUUUCUGGAUAACCAAUGAAGAAACCACUGGUUGUUCUUGAAUCUAGUUUCCUUUCGUGUGGAUUAUAAAUUCUUACUUUUGCUUGACAACCCCAAACAUGCAGUUGUCUUAAACUAGGUUUCCUCAGUAUCUAUACUUCAAAAGAUGUCUUUAGAACUGACUUAUUAGGAACUCAGUUUAAUAAAUAUUGAGCAGUUCUUAAUGCAUACAUCCACAAGAACACAUGUAAAAACAAAUUAAUUAACAUGCUUCUAACAAUAUUCAUUAAUGUACGAUUAUGCCUUUCUACAACACCAUUUUGUUGUGGUGUUUUUGAUAUUGUGUAUUGAGCACAUAUACCAUGACUUUCUAGGAAUUUAGCAAAUGAGUCAAAACAAUGUGCUUUCUCAUCAUAUUUUACAUACACUUUAUAAAAUCCUUAGCAUUUUCAAUUUUAUAAUUGUGGACUUGAUGUUAUUUACUAUAGUUAUUCACAUAAACAUCAGAUUUGACAUCUUCUUAGCCAGACCUUACUUAUCGCCUAAUCCCAUACCACAAAUAACUUAACACUUCUCGCGAAUAACCUUAUCGCAUGGUUAUAUUUUUACAAGAAAUCUUCCUUGAGAACUAACAAACUUUUACUCGCUUAGAACACUUAUCAUGAACUUAAACUUCAAGGCUUCCUCGCAAAGUUCUUCAUUGUGAAGACUACCCAAACACCUAGUGUUUUAAUAAAAAAACUUACGCGGACUUUCUUUUGAAGUCGUUUAGACAUAGAUUCUAUUGCAAGCCCUUCUUUUUUCAAAACUUCCUCACGAAUUAACUUCUUGAUCGCAAAAUUAUACUAACCAUAAAGAUUUUAUGGCUUAAUCCUUUCCGCGGAUUUAUUCAAACUCCAAUUUCUAUAGUACUUAUAACCAAAAUUUUACUUCAUAUACUCAAUUUAAAAAUGAGUCUCAUAAUUUGAUACAAACACAGUGAUCCAAUGCGUUCGUGUAAUUGACAUGCGAGUGAAGGUUUCUAUAAGUUUAGCCAAUACACGAACGCAUUGGAUCAUUAAUUAAUAUGGUUAAUGAGUUUAGUAUAUAUUCGUUGACACAUAGUUAUAUACACAGUGAGAAGAGUUCAACUGUGAGUCUUUAGUGGAGUGUAUACACAAUUAACGAAUAUUGAUUAAUGUGGUUAAUGAGUUUAGACAAUUAAUCUCAUAUUGUUGUAGCUUUUGAUCUAUAGUCCAUUAGGCCCCCUUUCUAGUUCGUAAAGAGUAAUGAGAUUUAUUUAUAUUGGUUGUAAUUUAAAGUGUUCAAAUUACUUUGGGAUUUAGUAUAAUGUAUAGUGAUAUAUUAUAAUAUAAAGUUUAUCAAACUUUAUUAUAUAAAUUUAAUUUUGGAUAUGAUUCAAAAUUAAUUUAUGAGAGAUAAAAUAUUUAAAUGAGUUCAAAUAUUAAUUUAAUGUGAAUUGAAUUCAUGUUAAAAUUAUUAGUUAUGAGAGAAAAUUAUAUUUGAGUAUGAUUCAAAUUUAACUUAAGUUAAAUAUAAGAUAUUUAAUUUAGUUAUUAAUUAAUUAAUAGCUUAGUUUAAUAUUAUUUAAUUAAAUUUGAUUGAAUUAAAUUAAUAUAAAACUAUAAGAUAUUUGAGAGAUAUUUAUUAAAUAAGAUUUAAAUGAAAUAUUAAUUAAAUAUGAUUUAAUUAAUUAUUAACUAAUUGAUUAAUUGUUAAUUAAUUAGUUGGUUUGAAAUUUCUAUUUAUUUAAUAUUUUUUAAAUUAAUAGAAUCUCAUGGUUAUCUCCUACUCCAAGACGGAAAGAGAGUUAUAAAUAUUUAGAAGAAAACAUAUUUUUUUUAACGAUUCAAUCAACCAAAAAAUAAGAACUUAUAAUUUUGCCUUUCAAAAGAGUUUCUCUAAAAAAAAUCUUUAAACUUUUUCCCAUCUCAAUUGUUUCCCACAAACCAAUCUUAUUCCAGAAGAUAGGAAGGUCUCCGACGCGUGGUGUCUCCAAUUCGAUAGAUUGUAAAUUCAGAGACAUCAACAAGAGUAGAUUCUCUCUAUCUUUUAAUUUAAAAGCAUGCUUAGUUUUUUAUUUAGAAUUUUGAUUCUAAAUAUUUUCAAUCUACUGGUAUUUUAGGAUUCCCAAAUUAAAUUGAGGAAUGGUUCUAUAAAAAAUCUUUUGCUGGCAUGGACUCUUAUCCUUCCAUUAACGCAUAGAAAAUAAUGAAAACAUUUCUUUUAUUAACUUUCAACUAACGUUUGACAACAAUUAUAAGGUACAUAACAAUGCUACACUUAAUUUAAACGUCUAGCAGCAACUCCUUGCCUAGCUAGCCUCUUAAUCUCUUCUUACUUGACCUUUAACGCUUGAAACCUUGAAGGUGAAAAUUUAAAAACAUAAGUCAAAAGAGUUAGUAAGAUUUUAAAAGAAAUCCUUUGGAGAUACGUUUCAUGAGAUAAACACAUUCGGUUCAAAUAGGCUUUUCAUAUCAUUCAUAAUAUAUCAUUUCACAUGACACUCAUUAGUAACACAGUCCUUUCAUUGAGAAAUCCGAAACCAUCCCCUACUCUAAGACUCAUCAUCUUGCAUUUAAACUUUUGUGAAAAACAUCCGAGAGUAUCCUAGUUUUUUCUAGUUACUCAAGGCGAAGCGCAAUACACAUCUUUUAUGUAUUGUCUUGCCUUAACACCAUGCAUACCUUUUUCUACAUGAUUGUCUUUACUCUUUAUGUGCACAUAAUGGUUAGCUCAUUGAUAGGAUUCAGAUUAAUGCUUUGAACACAAUUUCAUAAUCAUUUGAAACAGAAAAAUACACUUCAAACAUAGUAUAAGUUUGAAUUCAAAAUCUCUUUAAAAAAUAUUCUUAUCAUUUCAUAUCAGUACGAUCUUAAAAGAAAGCUUUUAACAUUUAAAAACAUUUAAUAUAGAAAAACACUCAUAAACUUGGUUGCUUUGGAAACAAAUGGCUUUUGUACUUCCUCUUCUCAUAUAGUCCUUUUAGCACAACAACUUAACACUCACCUUUCUCUUCAGUCUUCCCGAGUAACACUCCCUCACAUUCUGAUUCCUUCCACUAUUUAUAUUAGUCCUUAAAUGGGUUAGUCACCCUUAAACUCUCAAUAACUUGUCGGUUCCUAUUCUUAGUGGUGCACGUGUAAGCACAAUGUUUAACUUAAUUAUCAUGCUUAGCUUAAACUCCUACAUGUGGCCCAUCAAGUAUCCUUAGGAAAUUUUCCAAAGUUUCCUUACUUUCUCUUCAUCUCGCAAUGAACUCCAAACAGCUAACUAGUCUUAAAGGCCAAAAGUCUUAUCGCGUUGUCCUGCUCCUUCACCCAACAUCAACUUUUCAUCAUAACCUUCCAUUCAAAACGCCUAUUCUUAAACACAUAGUCAAAUUUUAGCCUUUCAUAGGUACGGGUCGCACAAAUUCAUAGGAAAUGUGCUCGAGUGGAAGAAGAUAAACUUGAUGAGGUUUACCAUAAUGUGGAAGAAGUGACUCCUAUAACAAAAUCCUAGAGCCAGAUUGGUUGUGGUAGUUUGAUGAUGAUGAUGCCAGCGUUUGGCCUCAGAGACACAAACGAGGCUGUAGAGAACAUAACAAACAGGGCCGUUGGAUGUCAAUCCAUCUUCUUCAUAUAUGGAUGUCAGUCCAUCGCCUUCAUACAUGCAUGGACACAAAUGAGGUCAUGGAGAACAUAACGACUAUUUGUACUAUAAAGCACCUACAGAGGUAUCAAAAUUCACAAGAGAACCAAUAAGAACCAAAUAAUCAAAAGGAGUAAGAAUAACAUAGAGUUUAAAGUUGGCCAUGACAAACAACUCAAAAUCGACAACGUAUAAGUUGAAACACAUUAAUUUUCUUUUAAUUUUUAAAUGGAUGUAAAACAUUGAUACUAGUAUUUUAAUUUAUAUUUAAUUUUUUUCAUUUAUGAAUAAUUAAAAAAAAAGUUAAACAAUCAUGUUCUUUUUUUAAUUAUUAAAAAAUAUAAUUAUAAACUUUCAUUAAAUUUAAAAAAAUGGAAGAGAAUUGGGUAAAGAUUUAUUAAUUACAAAUUUUUAAAAAUAAGAAAAUUGAAAAACAUGGGUCAAGGUAAAAAAUAUGAUGUGUAGGUUGGGUUUUCAACCCAUCAUCUUUGUUGAAAAUUAAAAAAAGAUAAAUGGUGGGUAAGUUUAGUUAAGCCCAUAACAAAAAAAAAAAAAAAGUUGUGUAUAGGUGGUUGGGGUUAACCUACUUAACAACACUAGUACAAAUUUGGUUUUUAAUGAUACUUGAAAUAAAAAGAAAAUAGGUGGAAUUGAAUAAAAUGUAUCGUUAAAAAUAAAAAAUACAGAUUUUUUCUUGACACACAUUUUUGCGUUGUUAACUAAUGACAUAAUUUUUGUGUCAUUAAAAAAAAUUUCCUUAAUAAAAAGUGCACCUAUUUCCAAUAUUAUUGAAUUCCCCUUUUGUAGGUUCUCCCUCUCUCGCAAAAAUCCUAGCACAUGGUCAGCUGCGGUAAAUCUGGAACUCACGAAAACGCUUUCCUUGCGUCCAUCGUGGUCUAGUUUGUCGGUCAGUGUAAUUCUUCAAAAGAAAUCCUUCACAGUAAGACGGUAACUUUGAAAUGUAUGAUAGAAAAGAGAGUGUAUAAGUCACGAGUUGAACACAUGAAUAAAAAAGAGAGUGUAUAAUCAUGGGUUGCACAAAUCUUUAAAUAUUAUGUAAAUUAGCUGCCCCAAUAUAAUUUUUUUUAAAGAAAAAACAGCAUAUUCAUCCAAAUUUUCGUUAAUAAAAUGUCACAUCAUCAAUAAAUUUAUUUAUCAAGGGUAAACAUACAAGAGAGCAAUUUAAACAUAGUUUUUAAACCUCAAAUGACUCACUUUUAAGAACUCAAGGACAAAACAGACACACUCAAUAUAGACCAAGGGAGUGCAUAUUGUCCUCCUUGAUUUUAUUCACACCUUUUCUACUUUUGUUCCCCUCAUAAGACCUGAUGAUGCAGACCAUGAUGCUGUGGUUAGUAGACAAGAGUUUCUCAUGGGCUUAACAGUGUCCAUGUCUUGGUAGAUUGUACAUCUAGCACUUCAGCUUUACGUUUUUCUAGGGUAAGUUGAGUAGAUGUUCUUACUUGCUCUUCAUAUGUUAGAUUGAUUUUUCUUCCUUGAUCCGUAAUAGAAACGUCAUGUUCAAUGACAUUAAAAUACGUAUGUAUUUGGUCAGGUGGCGUUUUUAUAUUUGCAAAUGCAAACCUUCCCGCUGUCUCUAACGUAAAUGUGUCAAUAAAAGUGUCGUCGGUUGGGUUACUCAUCGUAACUAUAUCUUAUUGAUAUUUUGAAGCUGAUAAAAAUUUUAUAACUCUGCCUUAUGCUCUCCAC
RNAcentral lists this long non-coding RNA (45357 nucleotides) under Cucumis sativus (cucumber). Its description in RNAcentral is "long non-coding RNA (CSAT_LNC001681)". Lineage: Eukaryota; Viridiplantae; Streptophyta; Magnoliopsida; Cucurbitales; Cucurbitaceae. The record is from RNAcentral.